GUAGAUGGAGUAAUAUCCCUCACUUGUCAAAGUGAGAAUAUAUUCCUCUCAACAGUGAAUGAAGGAAUUGUCUAGUCGUCACGUUUGACGACCCGCUAAUCCUUGAAGAGAAUCGUCAUACUUGCUCUCGACAGGGAAACAAUAUCAUUUCAUACGGGUCAUAUCUAUAUCGAAAUAAAAUAAUAUAUUAAAGUAUUUCUUUUUAAUAUUAUUAAUAUCGAAUAAUAUCAAUUAGUCAUUAAUUAACUUAAACACUAGUUCAAUCGGUCUAAUUGAACUCAAUUUAAUUAUAAUCCAGUUGAAUCGAUCUCUAAUCCUCAUUUAAUUAAUUUGAAAUAUUCAUAGACUAGUAUAAUUUAGUUCAGAUUGGGUUCAAUUUAGAUUAAAUAGAUCUGAAUAAAUUAAACUAAUUCUAAAUCACCCUGAAUCAAUUUCAACUAAUCAAAUCUCGUUUGGUUCAAUUGGCCCAAAUCCAACAAAAUAAGGCCAAUAAACUAAACUACAUAAUACUGGACUAGGUUGGGCCAGCCCAAGUAUUGGUCAUAUGUACUAUAUAUGACUAUACAUGAACCUCACUAAGCUGAGCCAACCAAUAGCCCAUGGACUAGUUAAUAUGGACCCAUGUUGGGCUAGGCUGAGUUAACCUACGAGUUGGACUUGGCCUACUGAUUGAGCAUAGCUUAUUAAUUGGACCUAGCUUGUGGGCUAUGACCUGACCUACCGGUUGGGCCUAGCCUACGGGUUAGGCCUAACUUGUUGGUUGAUUUUAACUCAAACUUAACUAAUACCCUCAAUUUCAUAUUGUGACAUUAUAAACAAGCAUAUAUUCAUUAAUCAUAUGUCAUUAAAACAUAAUAAAUAAUAAUAGAUUAAAACGAUAAACUACAUAAAGAGAAAAUAGCAUUCUAAAUCAAGUAUUGUAUAAAUCUAAUAAAAAUCAAUUAUCAUGCAUUCAAUAUAAAAUUUUAAAAAUGCAUAUGACAUAAAUAAUUUUAACAUGUUCUAAUCUAAAAUAAAAUUCUAAACCUUAAAAAGGAUAAAAGAAGAUAUUAAAAACUUCAUAUAAUAUUUUUUAAUCUAAAAAUAAAAUUUUAAACAUUUAAAGGAAUUAUUAUUUUUAUUUUUUAACAAAGGCACGGGAACUUAUUUCUCCUCGGUAGGAUACAAAUCCUCGUUCCUCCUAUUACUUGGCUUAGUGAGGAAUGAAUGAGAGAAAUCCCUCUUCUUAAAUAGGAGGAGAUUAGCCCUCCAUAUAAGAAUUUUUUUAAUUUUUAUAUUUAUUUAAUAUUUAUUUUUAUUUAAUUUUCUAAUGAAAAUGACAUCAACCUACUUGAAAUGUUGAAUAAUUAUUUUCUAAAUUUCAUUAGCAAGUAAGAAAAAAAAAUCAUACCUAAAUUGAAGAUUUGAUUACAUUUCUCACCUUCUAAAGAAAAUUUGGUUCCCAAAUUUAACUUACCUCAAGAAAAUAUAUUAGGAUACUGAUUUCUCACAUCUUCUUCUUUUUCUUAGGUUACUUAUGCUACCAAUAGAUCUUUAUCAAAGGUAUAAUUUUAUCCCUAUGAACAAGCUCUUUCCUUUCCAAAAUCUGAGUUGGUUAUUUUACAAAGGUAGCAUCAUCCUUUAGUUACAAAUGUUGGUAAGAUAUGACAUGAGAUGAAUCAUUAAUAUAUCUUCAGAGCAUAAAGACGUGGAAUACAUCAUGAAUGCUAGUCAAAACCGGGGGCAAUGCCAAUCUGUAUGCCAUAGGUCCAACUUUUUAUAAGAUCUCAAAUGAGUCAAUAAAUCUAGUGGCUAACUACCCCUUUGGCCAAACCUCCUAACUUUCCUAGUUGAUGACACCUUUAAGAGGACGUGAUCACUAACUUCGAAUUCCAAAUCUCUUCGUUUUCAAUUUGCAUAACUUUUUUUGGCAACUUUGGGUUGUUAAUAAUCUCUGAUGUAUAGUUUAAAUAUUAUUAGUAUCUCUUUGAAUCAGUUGAAAUUUUUCAUGGAUUAGUGCGUCAUUUGAUGUGGUGGCUAUAAAGUUACUCCAUCCAUUGUUGGGAGUGCGAUAUGGGUUUGUCUCCAUCCGCUGUUAGAAGAAUACAAACUCGUACCAUAGAUAAAUCCUCUCAAUCCAUUGUUGUAGAGUGCUCUUUUAGGUAUUCGAUAUAUGUCAAUGAGAGGAUUGACUGUUGGCUAUGUAUUUAUUUUAAGUUAAAUUAUAGGAGUUCCUACUCAACAUUAUUGAAAUUUCUUUGUUUUUUACUUUUAGAGUAGCCUUCUAGUAGUACUAGAUCGGAUUCCAAUGGUGAGUGUAACUUUUUCUAUUGCUAAGUAGAGCCAGUUGGAUUUAUCUUUGAGUUAACAUCACUAUGUUUACUUUUGACUUAUAAUUUAAUUAAUAAAUAAAUUAUAAUAAAUAUUUAUAAGUUAUAUACAUUAAUAAAGUGAUAUUCAUUUGUUUAGCUACGAAUGCAUUUACAAAAAGAUGCUAUGAUCUUGUAAAAAAAAAAAUUUAAGAUGUGAUAUCUUUUAUGAUAUUAGAGCCGACUUAGUAUUUGAGCAUUAUGAUGGGACUUAAGUAGGAAAAGACUACCUAUGGAUGGAGUCAGAGGACUUGUCAUAGCGUUGAGCCACCAUUGGACUACGCCUCACAUGCACUAUGUUCGAGUUUGAUUUAGGCUAUGUUGGGCCUUGACGUGGAUAUCAAUCCCUUGAUCGACUAAGUCAUAGUCUACAGUUUGUGCAGUCAUGACUAUAUUUUAAUUUGACUAUUCUUAGAGAUGAGUCUGGUAGAGUGAGACCAUUUUACCUUUCUGAAGUGGGGUGUACUCUAAUAGACUACUCUAGCACUACUUAUGAAUAUGAUAAUAUUCAUAUUUCAUCUUAAUUGGCAGCUAUCCACAAACACUACUUACACAUACUUACAAUUCAUAAGGGGAUAUAAGAAGUAGUAGUAGCAGGUAUAGCUUAGUUGGGAGAGUGUUAGAUUGAGGAUUUGAACGUCGCAUGUUCUAUCCACACUUACCAUAUUAUUUUAAUAUAGUUUUACUUACCAAAAAAAAGGGAUACAAGAAGUAGUAAAUAAUUAAGCAAUGUUGAAAUUAAAUUCAAACAUUCUUAUGAUUCUUAGAGUACACAUAUUUUAUUCAUAAUUAUUAUAAAAAGAUUUUUUAUUUUUAAUAAAUCUAAUCAAAUUUAAUUUAUUUCCUAUUCAUUCUUGCUAAUUUGUAAUAGUGAAUUUAAUGUAUAUAUUCUUUUUCUUUUACUAUGUGCGCUAGCAUGAGAGGGCAACAACCCUCCCAUGAGUAGCGGCGGAGGAAUGAUUGCUAUUAUGGGAUAUGGCAGGAGCACGGUGUCCAUGUUGAGGGUGUCGAUCAUAGGAGGUCAUUGGCCCUACCAUGAGCAGCUAUUGCAUAAAUAAUUAUAAUACUGUGUGCGAUGAAUCAAGGGUGUGACAGCCCUGUUAAGGGUGGUGAUUAUCGAAGGCAUCAUGACGAUAGCUUGAUUAAGGACUCUGGGAUGCAGGUGAUGGUGCAAUGUCAAACAUCACGAUGCAAAGCCACUAGCAGCAUCGUCCAUAGUUGCUAGGGUUGUGAGGUGACAAAAGCAGGGCUCAAUAGGGUUGGGGUUGGUGAUUUGCUAGCAAUGUUGCAUCAUCAAUAAGGAUUUGGCAAUGAGAAGGUCAUGUGAUGGCUUUGCACAAUAGAAGGAAUCCCUACAAAAGCCACCUUACGAUUUUGACCUAGUUUAGUCAAAAUCAAAUGUUGACCCUAUCCAACCCAUUUUGAUCUUUUGUCCUAGUCAAAAUCUAUGUUCGAUCAAAAUCUAUCUAGUUUAGUCAAAAUCAAAUGGCUUUGUAAUCUUUCUACAGGUACUUAAUGUUUUAUAUUCACCUACUAGCAAAUCAGAUAUUUAAAGACAAACCUUACUAUAUCUCUUUUUAUACUAUGUCAUUAAUAAUUUUGAAGCAAAUCCCAAUAUAUCAUGAUAGUCCCGGGAUAGAUAUUAAACCUCAAUUUAUGAGCCUCCUCUAAUAGUUGCAUCUUUAUUAGAUUACUUUUGGAAACACAAAAUCAAUUGUAGAAUCUAUAGAACCAUCUUCGGUUUGGAGGAAUUUAGGUCUAGAUCCCUGAGCUAUCAUAUGAAGAUGUGCAUCUUUCUUUUGACUUUCUUUGAUUAUUUCUAUCAAAAAUGAUUAUGCCAUCAAUCAUGCUAGAAAAUCUUUAUUUAACUCAUAUAAAAGUUCAAGCUUCAUAUCUACCAAUUCUAUCAUUAUAUAAUUUCUUUAAAUAUUUAUAUAGGUUAUAAUUCUUGAAGUAUUUCUGUUAAAGGUAUCAAUAAUUACAUUAGCCUUCACAGGAUGAUAGUUUAAUUAAAAUCAUAAUCUUUUAGAAAGUUCAACCAUUUUUCUAUCUUAUAUUUAAAUCUUUUUGAAUGAAUAUGUACUUGAGACUCUUAUGAUAUAUGAAGAUUUCAAAAGGUUGUCCGUAAAGAUAAAGCCUCUAAAUUUUUAAUGUAAAAAUGAUAGUUGCUAGCUCUAAGUCAUAAGUAUGAUAGUUCUUCUCAUGAGGCUUAAUUGUCUUGAUGCAUAAAUAAUUACCCUCUUAUUUUGCAUUUAUUCACAAAAAAGUUCUUGAAGUGAGAUAUCAUUAUACAAUAUAAAACCUUCUCUUUUAGAAGAAAUCACCAGGAUAGGAGCACUGGUUAAUUUCUCCUUCAAUUCUAGAAAACUUCGUUAAAACUUAUCGUCCCAAACAAACUUUAUAUUCUUCUAUGUUAACCCGGUCAAGGGUACUACUAUUUUUGAAAAGCCUUCUAAGAAUCUUCUAUAAUAUCUAACUAAACCCAAGAAGCUUCUGAUCUCCAAAAUAUUAUAAGGCUAUUUUCAUUUCAUCAUUGCUUUAAUCUUUUAGGGGUCAAUAAAUAUACUAGCACUCGAAAUUACACGAUCGAGAAACAUAACUUUAUUAAGCUAAAAAUUAUACUUGUUAAAUAUGAAAUAUAGUUAAAUAAGAUCAUAUAAAAGAAUACGUAUAAUUAGAAUAUAUAAGCAUAUAUACAAGCAUAUCACAAAGUGUAAUUAUACCUUAAAUGAUAAAUCCCGAGACUUCAGCAUCUUGAUGGGAUAAUGCAUAGAUCCUCACUUGAGCUCCCCCUCUAGGUUAAUAUUGUCUAGAUAUUUCGUGUGGAGCUUGGCGUUGAUAUUACUUUCAUGAGUAGUCAUUCGACAUGUGCCCCGAUUAUUACAAAAAAAAAAGUAUACAUGUUAUCCAAUAAGGCAUGAGGUGGAAAUAUGAUCGGUCUUUCCACAUAAAUAACAUUAUAUAACAACUUGAUUAUUGGGAGCUUCUGCUUUAUUCUUGGUGACUUUAAUACUGUUCAGUACAUAAAUUAAUAAGUGGGGGGUAGAUUACUUUUAGAAAGCCAGUUUUAAAGUUCUAAUGAUUAUAUAGAUACUACUGUAUUGAUUAAUAUGAAAUCUAUAGGUGAUUGGCUCUCAUGGAGUAAUCAAAAUGCUGCUCACAGAAAAAUUAUGGAUUGACUAGACAACCGUUUGAUUAAUCAAGAAUAGUUAAUCGUUUACCUUGAUUCACUUCUUGAGUAUGGUGCUUAGUUGUUUUCAGAUCACUCUAUAAUACAUAUAUAUAUGUAGAUAAAGCAAUAUCUAAAGGCAAGAAACCUUUUAGAUUCCUUAACAUGUGGAGUACUCACUCUCAAUUCCUCCAGGUUAUCAGAUCAGCUUGGAACAUUAAUGUGCAUAGUUCUCCCCCUUACAUCUUAUGCCAAAAGCUAAAAACAUGUAAAGCAAAAUUUAACGAGUGAAAUACAAACAUCUUUGGUAAUAUUAUCACCCGGGUUGAGUUAUGCAAAAAGAAACUUAUGACAGUACAACAUGAGCUGCAUCUUCAGCUCCAUUAUGAGAAUCUUAUCUGCAAAGAGGUAGAAGCUAGAGAUAACUUUAUGCAAGCUCUAAAACAAGAGGAAAGCUUUCUAAAACAAAAGUCUUGACAACAUUGUCUUACUCUAGGGGACUCUAAUACUAAAUUUUUCUAUACUGCUAUUGCUACUAAAACGGUCAUUAACUGCAUCAGAAAAUGUAAAGACUAAGAUAGUAAUCUUAUUGAGGAUUUGAAUGAGGUUAAAGGACACAAUAAGCAAUUUUUUUAUUCUUUACUUAAUAAGAGGAGUAGCCUAAUAGUAUUCAUAUAGAGCCACUAGAAAGCUUGAUUCGGAAGCUAUCUCAACCCUUAAUGCCCCAAUUAUAGAUAAAGAAAUUGUGAGAGUUAUCUUUAAGUCAUCGAAAUACAAAAGUCCUAGUUCGGAUGCAUUUUCAAUUGAAUUUUAUUAAAUUGCAUGAUCUAUCGUAGGCAAUGAUGUGAUUAAAGCUUAUUAACACCUUUUCUCUUUAGGCCGUAUUCUUAAAGAAAUGAAUUGCACAUUUAUCUCUUUAGUUCCCAAGAAUGGAAGAGCUGAUUCACUAGUAAACUAUUGGCUCAUUUCAUUAUGUAACUUUAUUUAUAAGAUCAUCUUCAAGGUACUGGCAAAUAGAAUGCAAAAUGUUAUGCACAAUAUUAUUAGUCCUCAUCAAGCGGUUUUCAUUAAAGGGAGAAGUAUACAUCAUAAUGUUCUUCUUGCUAGUAACUUGGUAAAGGAUCUACACUAAAAAACAAGAGAGAAAAUAAUCUGUUUUGAAGCUGAUUUACAAGAAAACCUUCGAUUCAGUUAACAUACACUUUCUCUACAAGAUUCUCCUUAGUAUGAGCUUCCCUCAACAAUGGAUUAAUUAGAUUCAAUACUGCUUGGAAACUCUAAAAUUCUCGAUUCUCUUCAAUGGUUCACCUAUUGGCUUUUUUGGGAGCAACAAUGGCAUCUAAUAAGGAGAUCCACUAUCUCUUUAUUUUUUUACAAUUGCAAUGGAAGAACUCAGUUGUAUGUUGGAAGAGGUAGUUUCUAAUGGCAGCAUUAAGGUACCCUAUACUAGUUCCGUUCAUAUAUCCCACAUAACUUUUGUUGAUGAUCUUAUUAUCUUCCUUCAGAAUGAUCAUACUUCUAUGAGGAAUCUAGCUAUUAUUCUAAAAGACUUUAGUAUAGUUUUUGGCCUUAAACUAAACAAUGCAAAAAGUAAAGUCUAUGUGGGUACUUAUAUUGAAGAUAAGGAUUCUAUUGCUCAAACUCUAGGGGUUAGUGAGGAAAAUUUAUCAGUUCCCUAUCUAGGUCUUCCACUCAUAUCCACUGGCAUUAACAAAACCCACUAUCAACCUAUCCUAUAGAAAACAAAGAAUAUGAUUUCUUCUUGAAAAAAUAGACUUCUUCCCAAAGAAGUCCGACUUGAACUCAUCCGAACUAUGUUGCUCCUACUCUAUUUAUUAGACUAAUGCAUUUCUUCUACUUGUUUGGCUUCUCUAGGAUAUUAAAAGACUACUUAUAAACUUCUUCUAGAAUGAAAUGGAUGGUAAUGUAAUGCAUAUGAUAAAUUGCAAGCCGAAAGAUAGAGGGUUGAAUCUAAGAAAUAUUAGAGAUUGGAAUAAAGUUUGUUUAGUAAAGCAAUUAUGGGAUAUUUUAUAAAACAAAUAUUCCUUAUGUUCACAAUGGGUUUCUGCAAUGUAUCUAAGGAAUCAAUCUGGGUAGCUUCGGCAAAAACAUAUCAUUAUGCAGCUUGGAAACAAAUUUUGAAGGCAAGGAAUUGGCUAAUCAAUAACAUUUCCUAUGCAAUCUCUUUUGAGACCAGCACUAAUAUGUGAUAUGGUUCUUGGGUGAAUAGGAAAAGUAUAUUUUAAUUAUUUGGUGAUAGAGUACGACAAGAUCUAGAGGCUCCUAAAGAUUGAAAUGUUUAUGAAUUCAUUGCUAAUGGCACCAGGUAUCUUCCCAAAUCCUACUUCCCUUGGAAUGCUAUCACUUGGCUAAUUAUUAUAGCUGUUCUAAUAUAGAAUAACUCUUCAGAUACACUUAUUUGACUUUAUGACAAUGGUAAAUUUAGUGCUAUAUCUACAUAGAAUCAAAUCAGGCAAAAAAAUAAUAAGUGGAUCCUAAGCAAUUAGACGUGGGAUAGGUCGAGCUCACAGAGACAUUCUUUAUGCACAAGGUAGGCCCUUCAUACCAAACUACCUAUAAUACACAAUAUGAAGAAAAGAGAUAUUUAUCUUAUCAACGGAUGCUCUCUUUAUAUGAAAAAGGAAGAAAGUGUUGACCAUCUCUAUUUUACUUAUGACUACACUAAUUGGGAAAGGAAGGAGAUUUUGAAGAGAUUUGAACUCAAUAGGCUACCAUAGCCAUACUUGAAUCAAGAAUUAUAAAAGCUCUUGUAAAGUUUCUUAAGAAAAUGACCUCUUAAACAACUGAUAAAUAUUACUUUCAGAUGUGCUAUUUAGUAGAUUUGGAAGGAGAGGUGUGAUAGAAUCUUUAAGUCUCAUAAUACAAAUAAUGCUCAACUUUUGAUAGAGAUUCUUAGAGAUUCAAGAACAUGCAUGGAUCAAGAUAUGAAAACGGAGCACUUAAUAAGAAGAGAGAAAGGAAUCUUUAUCAGAUUCAAUUUUUUCAUUAGUUAAUGAUCUCAGGAAUAAUGUUGAAGAGCGAUAUAUAUUAUGUAGUUAUUUGCUUCAAUAAUGUGUGGUAUUUAUGAGUGAUCUAGGCAUGUUUGGCCAUUGCAUUUUAUUAUUUGUUUAUUUAUUGACUACAGUAAGGAGUCAUAGUCUACAGUUUGUGCAGUUAUGACUAUAGUUUCGUUUAACUACUCCUGGAGAUGAGUAUGGUAGAGUGAGACCAUUUCAACUUUGUGAGGUGGGGUGUACUCUCAUAGACUACUCUAAGAUAUUUUAGGCUUUAGUCUAUGACUAGGGUAGACAAAGCUAUUUUGUACCAACUGUAUACUUAAUACAAUUAUUUUUACUUAAAAAAAAUGACUUAACUCUUAUUUCUUAUGAUGACAAGAUAAUAUUCAUAUUUCAUUUUAAUUGUUAGCCAUCCACAAGCACUACUUACAAAUACUUAUAAUUCAAAAUGGGAGAGAAAAAGUGAAAGCGGGGAUAGCNNNNNNNNNNNNNNNNNNNNAAACAAUAAAUAAUUAAUUAAUGUUGAAAUUAAAUUCGAACAUUCUCAUGAUUCUUAUAGUACACAUAUUUUAUUUAAAAUUAUUAUAAAAAUAUUUUUAUUUUUAAUAAGGCUCAUCAAAUUUAAUUUAUUUCUUAUUCAUUCUUGCUAAUUUGUAAUAGUGAAUUUAAUGUGUAUAUUCAUUUUUUUUUACUAUAUGCGCUUACAUGAGGGGGCAACAACCCUCCAAUGAGUAGCAAAGGAGGAAUGAUUGCUAUUAUGGGAUAUGGCAGGAGUGCGAUGACCAUGUUGAGGGUGUCGAUCAUAGGAGGUCACUGGCCCUACCAUGGGUAACUAUUGCAGUAAUAAUUAUGGUACUGUGUGCGAUGAAUCAAGGGUAUGACAGCCCUGUUAAGGGUGGUGAUUGUCAAAGCCAUCAUGAUGAUAGCUUGAUUAAGAACUCCGGGAUGCAGGGGAUGGUGUAAUGUCAGACAUCAUGAUGUAAAGCCACAAGUAGCAUCGUCCAUAGUUGCUAGGGUUGUGAGGUGACAAAUGUAGGGCUCAAUGGGGUUGGGGUUGGGGUUGGUGAUUUGCUAGCAAUGUUGCAUCAUUAAUAAGGUUGUGGCAAUUAGAAGGUCAUGUGAUGGCUUUGCACCAUCGAGAAAAAUAACUUUAUUGAGCUAAAAAUUAUACUUGUUAAAUUUGAAAUAUAGUUAAAUAAAAUCAUAUAAACGAAUGCAUAUAAUUAGAAUCUAUAAGCAUAUAUGCAAGCAUAUCACGAAGUGUAAUUAUACCUUAAACGAUAUAUCCCAAGACUUUGGCAUCUUGAUGGGUGAGUGCACAUAUCCUCACCUGAGCUACCCCUCUAUGUUAAUAUUGUCUAGAUAUUUUGUGUGGAGCUUGGCGUUGAUAUUACUUUCGUGAGUAGUCCUUCGACAUGUGCCCUGAUUAUUGACAAAAAAAGGUGUACAUGUUAUCCAAUGAGGCAUGAGGUAGAAACAUGAUUAGCCUUUCCACAUAAGUAACAUUUUAUAACAACUUGAUUAUUGGGAGCUACUGCUUUAUUCUCGGUGACUAUAAUACUAUUCAGUACACAAAUUAAAAAGUGGGGGGUAGAUCGCUUUCAGAAAGCCAGUUUUAAAGUUUUAAUGAUUAUAUAGAUACUACUGCAUUGAUUAAUAUGAAAUCUAUAGGUGAUUGGCUCUCAUGGAGUAAUCAAGGUGCUGCCCAUAGAAAAAUUAUGGAUUAACUAGACAACCAUUUGAUUAAUCAAGAAUGGUUAACCGUUUACCCUGAUUCACUUCUUGAGUUUGGUGCUUAGUUGUUGUCACAUCACUCUAUAAUACAUAUAUAUGCAGAUAAAGCAAUACCCAGGCAAGAAACCUUUUAGAUUCCUUAGGAGUACACACCCUCGGUUCCUCGAGAUUGUCAGAUCAGCUUGGAACAUUAAUGUGCAUAAUUCUCCCCCUUGCAUCUUAUGCCAAAAGCUAAAAAUAUAUAAAGCAAUACUUAAUGAGUGAAAUACAAACAUCUUUGGUGAUAUUAUCACCCGGGUCGAGUUAUGCAAAAAAAAAACUUAUGGCGGUACAACAUGAGCUGCAUCUUCAGCUCCAUGAUGAAAAUCUUAUCUGCAAAGAGGUAGAAGCCAGAGAUAACUUUAUGCAAGCUCUAAAACAAGAGGAAAGCUUUCUAAAACAUAAGUCUCGAUACCAUUGGCUUACUCUAGGGGACUCCAAUACUAAAUUUUUUUAUGUUGCCAUUGCUACUAAAAAGACCAUUAAAUGCAUCAGGAAAUGUAAGGAUGAAGAUGGUAAUCUUAUUGAGGAUUUGAAUGAGGUUAAAGCACAUAAUGAGCAAUUUUUUUAAUUCUUUACUCAAUAAGAGGAGCAGCUUAAUAGUAUUCAUAUAGAGCCUGCUAGAAAGCUUAAUUCGGAAGCUAUCUCAAUCCUUAAUGCCCCAAUUACAGAUAAAGAAAUUGUGAAGUUAUCUUUAAGUUAUUGAAACACAAAAGUCCUAGUUCGGAUAGAUUUUCAAUUGAAUUUUAUCAAGUUGCAUGAUCUAUUAUAGGCAAUGAUGUGAUAAAAGUUUAUUAACAUUGUUUCUCUUUAUGCUGUAUUUUUAAAGAAAUGAAUUACACUUUUAUCUCUUUAGUUCCCAAGAAUACAAGGGUUGAUUCACUAGUAAACUAUUGGCUCAUUUCAUUAUGUAACUUUAUUUAUAAGAUCAUCUUCAAGGUGCUAGCAAAUAUAAUGAAAAAUAUUAUGCACAAUAUUAUUAGUCCUCAUCAAGUGGUUUUCAUUAAAGGGAAAAGUAUACAUCAUCAUGUUCUUCUUGCUAAUGACUUAGUAAAGGAUCUACACUCAAAAACAAGAGAGAAAAAAAUCUGUUUUAAAGAUAAUUUACGAAAAACCUUUGAUUCAGUUAACAUACACUUUAUCUACAAGAUUCUCCUUAGUAUGAGCUUCCCUCAACAAUGGGUUAAUUGGAUUCAAUACUACUUGGAAGCUCCAAAAUUCUCGGUUCUCUUAAAUGGUUCACCUAUUGGCUUUUUUGGUAGUAGCAAUGGCAUCUGACAAGGAGAUCCACUAUCUCCUUAUUUCUUUACGAUUGCAAUGGAUGGACUUAGUUGUAUGUUAGAAGAGGUAGUUUCUAAUGGCAGCAUUAAGGUACCCUAUACUAGUUUCGUUCAUAUAUCCCAUAUAACUUUUGCUGAUGAUUUUAUUACCUUUUUCAGAAUAAUCUAACUUCUGUGAGGAAUCUAGCUAUUAUUUUAAAAGACUUUAGUGUAGUUUUUGGCCUUAAACUAAUUCAUGCGAAAGGUAAAGUCUAUGUGGGUGCUUGUAUUAAAGAUAAGGAUUCUAUUGCUCAAACUCUAAGGGUUAGUGAGGAAAAUUUAUCAGUUCCUUAUCUGAUUCUUUCACUCAUAUUCACUGGCAUUAACAAAAUCCACUAUCAGCCUAUCCUAUAGAAAACAAAGAAUAUGAUUUCUUCUUGAAAAAAUAGACUUCUUCCCAAAAUAGUCCGACUUAAACUCAUCCGAACUAUGUUGCUUCUACUCUAUUGAUUAGUUUAAUGUAUUUUUUCUGCCUGUUUGGCUUCUCUAGGAUAUCAAAAGACUACUUAUAAAUUUUUUCUGGAAUGACAUGGAUGUUAAUGUAAUGCAUAUGAUAAAUUUCAUGCCGAAAGAUAAAGGGUUGAAUCUAAGAAAUAUUAGAGAUUGGAAUAAAGUUUGUUUAGUAAAGCAAUUGCGGAAUAUUUUAUAAAAUAAAUAUUCCUUAUCUUCAUAAUGGGUUUCUGCUAGGUAUCUAUCCAAAGAAUCAAGCUGGGUAGCUUCAGCAAAAACAUAUCAUUCUAUAGCUUGGAAACAAAUUUUGAAGGCAAAGAAUUGGCUAAUCGAUAAUAUUUCCUAUGCAAUCUCUUUUGGGACCAGCACUAAUAUGUGAUUUGGUUCUUGGGUGAAUGGAAAAAGUAUAUUUUAAUUAUUUGACGAUAGAGUACGACAAGAUCUAAAGGCUCCUAAAGAUUAGAAUGAUUAUUAAUUCAUUGCUAAUGACAUAUGGUGUCUUCCCAAUCCUACUUGAAAUGCUAUCACUUUGGCUGAUUAUUAUAGCUAUUCUAAUAUGAAACAACUCUUCAGAUAUACUUAUUUGGCUUUGUAAUAAUGAUAAAUUUAGUGCUACAUCUACAUAAAAUCAUAUCAUGCAAAAAAAUAAUAAAUGGAUCCUAAGAAAUUAGACAUGGGAUGGGUCGAGCUCAUAGAGACAUUCCUUAUACACAUGACAGGCCCUUCAUACCAUACUACCUAAAAUAGAAAAUAUAAAGAAAAGAGGUAUUUAUCUUAUCAAUCGAUGCUCUCUUUGUAUGUAAAAGGAAGAAAGUGUUGAACAUCUCUAUUUUGCUUAUGACUACACUAAUUGGGAAAGGAAGGAGAUUUUGAAGAGAUUUGAACUCAAUAUGCUACCAUAGUCAAACUUGAAUCAAGAAUUAUAAAAGCUCAUGCAAAGUUUCUCAAGAAAAUGGCCUCUUAAACAACUAGUAAAUAUUACUUUCAGAUGUGCUAUUUAGUAGAUUUAGAAAGAGAGGUGUGACAUAAUCUUUGAGUCUUACAACACAAAUAAUGCUCAACUUUUGAUAGAGAUUCUUAGAGACUCGAGAACAUGCAUAGAUCAAGAUCUGAAAAUAGAGCACUUAACAAGAAGAGAGAAAGUAAUCUUUAUUAGAUUCAAUUUUUUCAUUAAUUAAUGAUCUCAGGAAUAAUGUUGAAGAGUGAUAUGUAUUCCAUGGUUAUUUGCUUCAAUAAUGUGAUGUAUUUAUGAGUGGUCCAGGCAUGUUUGGCCAUUGUAUUUUAUUAUUUAUUUAUUUAUUGACUAUAGUAAGGAGUCAUAGUCUACAGUUUGUGUAGUCAUAACUACAUUUUAGUUUGACUACUCCUGGAGAUGAGUCUGUUAGAGUGAGAUCAUUUUAACUUUCUAAGGUUGGGUGCACUCUUAUAGACUACUCUAAGAGAUUUUAGGCUUUAGUCUAUGGCUAAUGUAGACAAAGCUAUUUUGUACAAACUUUAUACUUAAUACAAUUACUUUUACUUUUAAAAAAAAGACUUAACACUUGUUUCUUAUGAUGACAAGAUAAUAUUCAUAUUUCAUCUUAAUUGGCAACCAUCCACAAGCAACAUUUACAAAUACUUACGAUACAUAAUAGGAUAUUAAUAACAAUAACAGCGGGGAUAGCUCAGUUGGGAGAGCAUUAGACUAAAGAUCUGAUGGCUGCGUGUUCAAUCCACGCUCACCGUAUUAUUUUAUUAUAGUUUUACUUGCAAAAAAAAAGGGAUACAAGAAGCAGUAAAGAAUUAAUUAAUGUUGAAAUUAAAUUCGAACAUUCUCAUGAUUCUUCGAGUACACAUAUUUUAUUUAAAAUUAUUAUAAAAAAAAUUAUUUUUAAUAAGGCUCAACAAAUUUAAUUUAUUUCCUAUUCAUUCUUGCUAAUUUGUAAUAGUGAAUUUAAUGUAUAUAUUCUUUUUCUUUUACUAUGUGCGCUAGCAUGAGGGGGCAACAACCCUCCCAUAAGUAGCGAUGGAGGAAUGAUUGCUAUUAUGGGAUAUGGUAGGAGCGCGACGACCAUGUUGAUAGUGUCGAUCGUAGGAGGUCACUGGCCCUACCAUGGGCAACUAUUGCACAAAUAAUUAUGGUGCUAUGUGGAUGAAUCAAGAGUGUGACAGCCUUGUUAAGGAUGGUGAUUAUUGAAGGCAUCAUGAUGAUAGCUUGAUUAAGGACUCCGGGAUGCAGGUGAUGGUGCAAUGUCAGACAUCACGAUGUAAAGCCACAAGCAGCAUCGUCCAUAGUUGCUAGGGUUGUGAGGUGACAAAUGUAGGGCUCAAUGGGGUUGGGGUUGGGGUUGGGGUUGGUGAUUUGCUAGCAAUGUUGCAUCAUCAAUAAGGAUGUUGCAAUGAGAAGGUCAUGUGAUGGUUUUGCACCAUCGAGAAACAUAACUUCAUUGAGCUAAAAAUUAUACUUGUUAAAUUUGAAAUAUAGUUAAAUAAGAUCAUAUAAAAGAAUGAGUAUAAUUGGAAUCUAUAAGCAUAUAUGCAAGCAUAUCACGAAGUGUAAUUAUACCUUAAACGAUAUAUCCCGAGACUUCGACAUCUUGAUGGGUGAGUGCACAGAUCCUCACCUGAGCUCCCCCUCUAUGUUAAUAUUGUCUAGAUAUUUCGUGUGGAGCUUGGCGUUGAUAUUACUUUCGUGAGUAGUCCUUCGACAUGUGCCCUGAUUAUUGACAAAAAAAGGUGUACAUGUUAUCCAAUGAGGCAUGAGGUAGAAACAUGAUCAGCCUUUCCACAUAAGUAACAUUUUAUAACAACUUGAUUAUUGGGAGCUACUGCUUUAUUCUCGGUGACUAUAAUACUAUUCAGUACACAAAUUAAAAAGUGGGGGGUAGAUCGUUUUCAGAAAGCCAGUUUUAAAGUUUUAAUGAUUAUAUAGAUACUACUGCAUUGAUUAAUAUGAAAUCUAUAGGUGAUUGGCUCUCAUGGAGUAAUCAAGAUGCUGCCCAUAGAAACCUUUUAGAUUCCUUAACACGUGGACUACUCACCCUUAGUUCCUCGAAGUUAUUAGAUCAGCUUGGAACGUUAAUGUGCAUAGUUCUCCCCCUUACAUCUUAUGCCAAAAGCUAAAAACAUGUAAAGCAAUACUUAAUAAGUGAAAUACAAACACCUUUGGUAAUAUUAUCACCUGGGUCGAGUUAUACAAAAAUAAACUAAUGACGGUGCAACAUGAGCUGCAUCUUCAGCUCCUUGAUGAGAAUCUUAUCUGCAAAGAGGCAGAAGCAAAGAGACAGAAGCCAGAGAUAACUUUAAGUCAUCGAAUCUUAUCUAAAACAAAGUCUCGACAGCAUUGUGAGAGUUCUCUUUAAGUCAUCGAAACACAAAAGUCCUAGUUCGAAUGGAUUUUCAGUUGAAUUUUAUCUAAUUGCAUGAUCUAUCAUAGGCAAUGAUGUGAUUAAAGCUUGUUAACACCUUUUCUCAUUAGGUCAUAUUCUUAAAGAAAUGAAUUACAUUUUUAUCUCUUUAUUUCCCAAGAAUGCAAGGGCUGAUUCACUAGUAAACUAUUGGCUCAUUUCAUUAUGUAACUUUAUUUAUAAGAUCAUCUUCAAGGUGCUGGCAAAUAGAAUACAAAAGGUUAUGCACAAUAUUAUUAGUCCUCAUCAUACAAUUUUUAUUAAAGGGAGAAGUAUACAUCAUAAUGUUCUUCUUGCUAAUGACUUAGUAAAGGAUCUGCACUCAAAAACAGGAGAGAAAAAAAUCUGCUUUAAAGUUGAUUUAUGAAAAACCUUCGAUUCAAUUAACAUAUACUUUAUCUACAAGAUACUCCUUAGUAUGAGCUUCCCUCAACAAUGGGUUAAUUAGAUUCAAUACUGCUUGGAAACUCUAAAAUUCUCGAUUUUCUUCAAUGGUUCGCCUAUUGGCUUUUUUGGAGUAGCAAUGGCAUCUGACAAGGAGAUCCACUAUCUCCUUAUUUCUUUACAAUUGCAAUGGAAGGACUCAGUUGUAUGUUGGAAGAGGUAGUUUGUAAUGGCAACAUUCAGGUACCCUAUACUAGCUCUAUUCAUUUAUCCCACGUAACUUUUGCUAAUGAACUUAUUAUUUUCCUUCAAAAUGAUCCUACUUUUGUGAGGAUUCUAACUAUUAUUCUAAAAGACUUUAGUAUAGUUUUUGGUCUUAAACUAAAUCAUGCAAAAAGUAAAGUCUAUGUGGGUGCUUGUAUUGAAGAUAAAGAUUCUAUUGCUCAAACUCUAGGGGUUAGUGAGGAAAUUUUAUUAUUUCCUUAUUUAGGUCUUCCACUCAUAUCCAUUGGCAUUAACAAAACCCACUGUCAGCCUAUCCUAUAGAAAAUAAAGAAUAGGAUUUCUUAUUGAAAAAAUAGACUUCUUCCCAAAGAAGUCCGACUUGAACUCAUCUGAACUAUGUUGCUCCUAUUUUAUUUAUUAGUCUAAUGCAUUUCUUCAGCCUGUUUGGCUUCUCCAGGAUAUUGAAAUACUAUUCAUAAUCUUAUUCUGGAAUGAUAUGAAUGGUAAUGUAAUGCAUAUGAUAAAUUGCUAGCCGAAAGAUGGAGGGUUUAAUCUAAGAAAUAUUAUAGAUUCGAAUAAAGUUUGUUUAGUAAAGAAAUUAUGGGAUAUUUUAUAAAAUAAAUAUUCCUUAAGUUCACAGUAGGUUUCUGCUAGUUAUCUAUCCAAGGAAUCAAUCUGGGUAGCUUCAGUAAAAACAUAUCAUUCUACAACUUGGAAACAAAUUUUGAAGGCAAGGAAUUAGCUAAUCAACAACAUUUCCUAUGCAAUCUCUUUUGAGACCAGCAUCACCCAAGUCGAGUUAUGCAAAAAUAAACUUAUGGCGGUGCAACGUGAGCUACAUUUUCAGCUCCUUGAUGAGAAUCUUAUCUGCAAGAAGGCAGAAGCCGGAGAUAACUUUAUGCAAGCUCUAAAACAAGAGGAAAUCUUUCUAAAACAAAAGUCUCAACAGCAUUGGCUUACUCUAGGGGACGCUAAUACUAAAUUUUUCUAUGCUCCCAUUCUACUAGAAAGGCCAUUAACCGCAUCAAGAAAUGUAAAGACAAAUAUGGUAAUCUUAUUGAGGAUUUGGAUGAGGUUAAAGCAUACAUUGAGUAAUUUUUUUAUUCAUUACUCAAUAAGAGGAGCAGCCUAGCAGUAUUCAUAUAGAGUAUACUAGAAAGCUUGAUUCGGAAGCUAUCUCAACCCUUAAUGCCCCAAUUACAGAUGAAAAAAUUAUGAGAGUUAUCUUUAAGUCAUCGAAACAUAAAAGUCCUAGUUCGGACGGAUUUUCAGUUGAAUUUUAUCUAAUUGCAUGAUCAAUGGUAGGCAAUGAUCUGAUUAAAGCUUGUUAACACCUUUUCUUUUUAGGUUGUAUUCUUAAAGAAAUGAAUUGUACUUUUUUUCUUUGGUUCCCAAGAAUGCAAGGACUGAUUCAUUAGUGAACAAUUGGCUCAUUUCAUUAUGUAACUUUAUUUAUAAGAUCAUCUUCAAGGUGCUGGCAAAUAUAAUAUAAAAGAUUAUGCAUAAUAUUAUUAGUCCUAAUUAGGCAAUUUUCAUUAAAGGGAGAAGUAUACAUCAUAAUGUUCUUCUUGCUAAUGACUUAGUAAAGGAUCUGCACUCAAAAACAAGAGAGAAAAAAAUCUGUUUUAAAGUUGAUUUACGAAAAUCCUUCGAUUCAGUUAACAUACACUUUAUCGACAAGAUGCUCCUUAGUAUGAGCUUCCCUAAAAAAUGGAUUAAUUGGAUUUAAUACUGUUUGGAAACUCUAAAAUUCUCGUUUCUCUUCAAUGGUUCACCUACUUGCUUUUUUGGGAGAAGCAAUGACAUUUGACAAGGAGAUCCACUAUCUCCUUAUUUCUUUACAAUUACAAUGGAAGGACUUAGUUGCAUAUUGGAAGAGGUAGUUUCUAAUGGCAACAUUAAGGUACCCUAUACUAGUUCCAUUCAUAUAUCCCACAUAACUUUUGUUUAUGUUAUUAUUAUCUUCCUUCAGAAUCACAGAUGAAUCUAGCUGUUAUUCUAAAAGACUUUGGUAUAGUUUUUGGUCUUAAACUAAAUCAUGUGAAAAGUAAAGUCUAUGUGAGUGCUUGCACUAAAAAUAAGGAUUCUAUUACUCAAACUCUAGGGGUUAGUGAGGAAAAUUUAUCAGUUCCUUAUCCUAGUCUUCCACUCAUUCACAAGCAUUAACAAAACCCCACUAUUAGCCUAUCCCGUAGAAAAUAAAGAAUAAGAUUUUUUCUUGAAAAAAUAGACUUCUUCCCAAAGAAUGAUGACUUGAACUCAUCCGAUCUGUUUUGCUCCUACUCUAUUUAUUAGUCUAAUGCAUUUGUUCUACAUGUUUGGCUUUUCCAAGAUAUUGAAAGACUACUUAUGAACUUUAUUUGGAAUGACACAAAUGGUAAGGCAACACAUAUGAUAAAUUGGGAUAGCAUUUGCAACCCAAAAGAUGAAGGGCGAUUGAAUCUAAGAAAUAUUAGAUAUUGGAAUAAAGCUUGUUUAGUAAAGCAAUUGUGAGAUAUUUUAUAAAACAAAUAUUCCUUAUGUUCAUAAUGGAUUUCUGCUAGGUAUCUAUCCAUAGAAUCAAUCUGGGUAGCUUUAGCAAAAACAUAUCAUUCUGUUGCUUGGAAACAAAUUUUAAAGGCAAGGAAUUGAUUGGCUAAUCAACAACAUUUCCUAUGCAAACUCUUUUGGAAUCAACACUAAUAUGUGAUAUGAUCCUUGUGUGAAUAGAAAAAGUAUAUUUCAAUUAUUUAGUGAUAGAGUACAAUAAGAUCUAGAAGCUCCCAAAGAUUGGAAGGUUUAUGAAUUCAUCGCUAAUGGCACUUGGUGUCUUCCCAAUCCUACUUUUCCUGAAAUGUUAUCACUUUGGCCGAUUACUAUAGCUAUUCUAAUAUGGAACAACUCUUUAGAUACACUUAUUUGGCUUUAUGACAUUGGUAAAUUUAGUAUUACAUCUACAUGGAAUCAAAUCAAGCAAAAAAACAACAAGUGGAUCCUAAGCUCAACUUUGGUAGAUUUGAAAGGAGAGGUGUGGUAGAAUUUUCAAGUAUCUCGAUAUAAAUAAUGCUCAACUUUUGAUAAAGAUUCUUAGAGACCCAAGAAUAUGCAUGGAGCAAGAUCCAAAAACGGAGCACUUAAUAAAAAGAGAGAAAGGAAUCUUUAUCGGAUUUAAUUUUUUUAUUAGUUAAUGAUCUCAGGAAUGAUAUUGAAAAGCGGUAUGUAUUCCAUGGUUUUAUGCUUCAAUAAUGUGAUGUAUUUAUGAGUGGUCUAGGCAUGUCUAGCCAUUGUAUUUUAUUAUUUAUUUAUUUAUAAGAGUCAUAGUCUACAGCUUGUGUAGUCAUCACUAUAUUUUUGUUUGACUACUCUUGGAGAUGAGUUUAGUAGAGUGAGAUCAUUCCACCUUUCUUCUAGACCGGAGAUGGGUGUACUCUUCUAGACUACUCUAAGAGAUUUUAGGCUUUAGUCUAUGGCUUAUGUAGACAAAAUUAUUUGGUACAAACUUCAUACUUAAUACAAUUACUUGUACUUUAAAAAAAAUAGACUUGACCCUUAGCCCUUGUCUCUUAUGAUAACAAGAUAAUAUUAAUAUCUCAUCUCAAAUGGUAACCAUCGACAAGCACUACUUACAUGUAUUUAAGAUUCAUAAGGGGAAGCAAGAAGCAGCAAAGAAUUAAUCAAUGUUGAAAUCAAAUUCGAAAAUUUUCAUCUUAGAGUACACAUAUUUUAUUUAAAAUUAUUAUAUAAAAGAUUUUUAUUUUCAAUAAGGCUCAUCAAAUUUAAUUUAUUCCCUAUUCAUUCUUCCUAAUUCGUAAUAAUGAAUUUGAUAUGCAUAUUUAUUUAUUUUUUACUAUGUGCGUGAGCAUGAGGGGGCAACAACCCUCACAUAAGUAGCGAAAGAGGAAUGAUUGCUAUUAUGGGAUAUGGUAGGAGUGCGAUGACCUUGUUGAGAGUGUUGAUAGAGGUCACUGGCUCUACCAUGGGCAACUAUUGCAUAAAUAAUUGUGGUGCUGUGUGCGAUGAUUCAAGGGUGCGAUAAACGAUGGUGAUUGUCGAAGGCAUCAUAACGAUAGCUUGAUUAAGGACUACGGGAUGCAGGUGAUGGUGUAAUGUUAGACAUCACGAUUUAAAGCCACAAGCAGCAUUGUCCAUAGUCAUCAAUAAGGAUGUAGCAAUGAACAGGUCAUGUUAUGGCUUUGCACUAUAGAAGAAAUCCGUACAAAAGCCACCUUGAAAUUUUGACCUAGUUUAAUCAAAAUCAAAUGUUGACCCAAUCCAAACCAUUUUGAUAUUUUGUCCUAGUCAAAAUCUAUUUUUGAUCAUAUUUUGACCUAAUUUGGGAUUUUAGAUCUUGAGUGGAUUUUGAUUUUGAUUUUGACUUGACCAAAAUCUAAUUUUGGAUCAAAUCCUGAUUUUUUACCCUAAUCAAUUCUAUCGUUGACCAAUUUGCCAAAUUGGAUUUUACCUAAUUUUUAUUUUAGGUCAAUUAGAUUUUGAUAGCUCAAAAUUCAAUUUUAAUUGUUUACUUUGACUUGCUUAAUUGUUUGGGUAGGCUAUUGGUUUAAUCUAAGGUGACUCGAUCAAUUUGGUCUGGUUUGGAUAGUCCAAUUAUGGGUUUACUCGAUAAAAUAUGAUUGAUUGACCAUUUAGAUAUUUUAUAAUUUUUUUAAAAAAUAUAAAUCAUAAAUUUCUUAUAUAAUUUUCUAAUAUGAUAUAUUAGUAAAAUUUUUGUUUAUGGUCCUUAAAUUCUAAUUAUUAUUCUUGGAUAUUUAUAGUUAUUUAUAUAUUUAAUAAUUAUAAAUAAUAUUUAUUUUUUAUAUAAGAGUAUGAUUUAUGUUUUAUAAUGAUUAUAGUUAUCAUACUAUUUUUUUAGCUGAUUAAUAUUUAAUAAUUAUUAUAAUUAUUAUUUUAGUAUUAUUAAGUUAAUUUUGUAUAAAUUAGAUUAAUAAAAAAUUAAUAAAUAUUAUUUAAAACUUAUAUCUUUAAAUUUUAUUUAAUUAAUAGAUACCAAAGUGACCUGAUGUGGUUUUGAUAAGAAUAUAAUUAUCCUUUAGUACAUGUACGCCAAAUAACAAGUAUACCAUGUUAAUAAUCACCUUAACAAAAAGUAUUCCCCAAAUCACGGUUUGGACAAUAUUUCCUUUGGAAAUUAUUUUCUUUUACUGCUUGAAUCAACUAUAAAUAAAAUAUACUUCAUUUAUUUUCGUUUCUUUUUUCACUCUCCUUAUACUCCACUUUUUUUUUUUUUCGCUCUCCUCUCACUCCAUCUAAAAGUUUCACUUGGGUACAACAACUUUACCUCUAAGCUAAUUCUUCGUUACUAUGUUACUAUGUAUCUAAAGGAACAUUUCACUUGGGUAUAACAACUUUACCUCUUAAGCUAAUUCUUCGUUGCUAUACUACUAUGCAUCUAAAGGAACAUUCCACUUGGGUACAACUUUACCUCUAAGCUAAUGUGUAUCUAAAGGAACAAGUCAAGAAAGCUUAACAUUUCAAACAAAUUUUAGAGAAUGUAUUUUGUUGGGUACAACAACUUUACUAUAAUUAAGAAGAUUAUUUUAUUAUAAUUAUGACCUAAGUGUUGGUAAGACUAUAAGGUAUAUCCCAUAGGAGUUAAUGUCCCUUGAACUUUAUACGAUUACAAUAGAAUGCGGCCAUUUAGUGACAUAUUCUAAAGGAGAUCGUUUCAUAAAGGUCACAUAUGUAUUAGAAUCAUUGCGCACCUUUUCAACCAGUAGAAAUCAAGACCAUGAGACUAUUCUUUUUCAUGUCAUAACUCUUUACUCCGUGAAUAUUGUACAUUCUUUCAACUCUUACAUCUCCUCGCUCACGAUAACUCAAUUUGCCUCUUAAAACAUCAUGUUUAGAAUUUUCAAUUUUCACUCAUUCUAACUACUAGUUUUUAUUAGUUCCCAAAGUAUUCCAUCAAAUACACAAUAAUAAGAACUAUGUCCAAGGUGUUGCAUGAGGUUUUUUCGACUUCACACCGAAUAUAAUUUAUGAAACUUAUUUUUUAUUCCUUCUUGACAUCACCUUCUGUAGUUUUCAAUAAUUUUACUGAACUCAAAAUCAUACUAACUCAGAAGAAUUGUGUCCAAACUGGAACGGAAACACAAAAUCUAGGUGUAACAUCAUGGAUUUGCCUGAACCAUUUUGGUUCCAGUUGCAGCCCUGUGGGGUAAUCCAGUCAUGUGAAGGAAGAACUGAGCUUACCCUCUUCAGGGGAGUUAUGUUGUGCCACCAGCACUCUAAUCACAUGAGGAGGGACAUGCCAUGAUGGAUUCUGUCAUCCACCUAUAUAGUUUGUUGUAUGUACAGACUGUCAUCAUCCUUAAGGUCUUGGUUGGCAGUCAUAUGGAUCCAAAUCUUUCAACACAGCUUGGAAGUCAAAAUGACUAUGGCUUCGCUUUACAAUUCAAUUCUCCACAAUUCUCACCUACAGCAGUCAUCCUCCAUGAGAUUUUCAAUGAUAUAAAAAGGAAAAGGGGUACUCCAUAGUCUACAGCAUUAGUAUAGAAGAUUAGGGAGAUUGCAUCAAGCAGCAAGACCUUCAAGGAGAGCUCUCCUCCUUGUUGCCAGUUCCAUGUAUUCGGUAAGAAUGGCAGGAAAGCAGCCCUAUUUGUCCUUCAUCAGCGUAGCCAUACUGUCAACACCUAAAAACAACCCAAGCUGAUCAAGAACAGAAAAUACAAAGUCGGAUUAGCAAAGGGAGUUGCAACGAUGAGAGUAUCAGUACCUGCCAAGAUGAUGGCCAUGUAGGAAAAAUAAAAGAUCACCGAGUUGACAAAACUUGGGCUAAUGAUUUCCACAUCACAUAAGAUCAGCAACAAGAGCAAGAGACCUUUGAAAUAGUCCAAGCAACAGAUAGAACUUCAAUUUGGCUAGUAAACCAACACACUACAAACAUGAUUACUCCAAACUUUAUUGCUGCCGUAGCAGAUUUUCAAGCACACAAGAAAGGAAAAGAACAUAGAUGAUUUAAUCAAGUAUUAAAGCUAUCUCAUACCUUUAUUCAAUGGAAUAGAAUCUAAAUCUCUUCAAUUUCAAGCCAUCAAAUAUGCUAGUUAAAGAAAACCAAAUAUAUAGAAUGGACUUCAUUGUGGUCUAGUUGCUACAUUGAGCUCCAUCCUUUCCGUUGCUUUGAGUCAGAUGCCAAUCUUCUCAGUCAAGGUGCAAACUAGGCAAACUUUGCUCGAUGUUCUCUUGGAGCCUAAGCUAUUUCUACUACAAACAGAAUUCCAUAUCUAUCAUACCCAUGUAAAACCUACACUAGCCAGUCACUAAGUGGCAACCAUUUUAUUUCCUAUACUUGAAUGCUGUAACAAGUAAAAGAAGUGCCAUCAAGGCUAGACUAAUAUAUUAACACAGCAUCCAGAAAAGUGUGAGGUGUCAGAGAACAAUGGGCAACUGCCUUGUCUCCUCAAAAAUAUUUUACUCAAGAAAGUUUCUCCAAAUCACAAUAAAUCUAAAACAACACAGAUCAAAACAAAAAAUUUAUAUUCGUCAUGACAAUCCCGGUGAAACAGAAAUCUUAGUGAUACAUUACCGCACAUUACGUAUUCAAUAAUGUUAAACAAGCCAGCCAACUGAUCAUGAUGACCAAAAGAAUUACUGUAACAACAAAAAGAAGGUAGCAAUAUAAGGAACAUUGAAACCACAUACUGGCUGCUUUAUAUUUUCUAAUUUCAUAAACUUGAAUGCCACAAUAAGAAAAGAAGUGCCAUCAAGGCUAGACUAAUAUAUAAACAUAGCAUCCAGAAAAGUGAGGUGUCAGAAAACAAUGGGAAACUGCCUUGACUCCUCAAAAAUAUUUAACUCAAGAAAGUUUCUCCAAAUCACAAUAAAUCUAAAACAACACAGAUCAAAAACAAAAAAUUUAUGUUCAUCACUACAAUCCUAGUGAAACAGUACCAGACAGCAAUCUUAGUGAUACAUUACUACACGUUCGAUGUACAUAUUCAAUAGCGUUAACAAGCCAACCGACUGAUCAUGAUGACCAAAAGAAUCACUGUAACAACAGAAAAAAGACAGCAAUAUAAGGACAUUGAAACCACAUACUAGCUGCUGCUUUUUAUUUUCUAGUAAGGACAUCAUUAAAUUCUCAUAUCACAACAAGCCCUGAACAAUUUACUUAUAAAACUACAACAACCAAAGACAAAUAUCUUCAGACAUGGUUUACAAAAAGGCUUUGAUGCUGCAAUACAAUGGUGUGGUUUUUCUUCAAGGAAUGGUAAGACAACCUUGGAAACUGAAGUUUUAUAACUUUCAUCUAUAAAGGAAAUUGAAAAGAACAAAGUAACAUAAAUGUUUCCUCUUAAUGAGGAGAGAAAAAGUCGAUGCAAGUUUGGAUGUCAUGCUGAUUGCUGAUAUGCAUUUGCUUUAGCUUGCCUGUCUGAUAAUGCCAUAAUGCUUCUCAUCAGUGAAUAGACACCCGAUGUAGGAACUUUGUUGCGCUAGAAGAACAAUAAAACUAUAACAUAUUUAAAAAAUUCUUCAAGCAUUCACAAUCAAUGGCAUCUGUUUUGCAUAUAGCAAGAUUACAAAGAGAGGAAAUAAAUAGGAGAGAGCUAUGCAUGAAUUUAAUAUCUCCACCAAAAGUAUGUUAAGCAUGGGAGUCCAUAUUACAUAAUUUGAUGUGUCAAAAUUGUUAUAUGGCCAAUAAAUAUUGUUACUUAGAUGACAGGAUUAUGGAACAAGUUUAUGCAAAAAAAACUUCAUGGAAACAUACAGUUUGUUGCAUGAACUCCCACAAUGCACAUCCUUAUCACUACAAUGGAGAUGCUCUUUUUGUGACUCAACUCUUAGUCGUCCAAGUCACAAAGGAGCAACUCUAUUGUUAAAAAAAAAGGCCAAAACCUGAAAAUAAAGCUCACAAAAAACACGCCUUCACUAGUUUCAUAUUUUCGAAAAAAAUGGAUAUCUUGAUUUUCCCUUAAAUCACCAAUUUGUUGAUUCUCAGAUGAUUUCCCCAGAUAUCUUAUUUCUCAUGAUAUAACGGAUCAAUCGAGUUAAAGAGGGCAUCCUACCUCAACUCUCGUAAUACCUUCACGUUUUGACACCCUCCAACUUUUAUUUCCACUUUUGUAUGUUAUAUACUUCUAUCCUUUCACAAAUAUUGAUAAAAGGGAAUUGGUAGAAGUUGCCUGUUUUAGAGAGAAAAGGGUGUGGAACAGCAAGUAAGACAAGAAAUAAAAUGGGUGCCUCUCCAAUCAGCUAAAGUUUAAAGAUCAAGAAUUGGAAUAAGAACAACCUAUGGCCACAUUUGGUAUGGGGACUAGGAAUUAUUGGGUUUCUUCAAAAUUUUCAAUUGGGGAUCUGAGUUACAAUGGAAACUCUCAUCCUAUGUUUGGCCACAUUUUGUAAAUCCAACCUAGAAUUUCAAAAAUUAAGCAUCUUUUUUGUUUAGCAAGGGACUCACUGGCAUAUUUUCUUUGGACAAGAAUUUACUCACCGAACCAUGGUUGCAUUCACAAAUAACUGACUGGCCAACAAUACCUCAAGUUUCAGACACAUAACUGAAACUUUUAAACUGUCAAGGUGGAGGUAAGAGGGUGUGUUGGGUGAAUCCUAGGAUUUCAAGGGAUUUAGUUCCAAAUUUUCUCUUUUUUCUGCUUGACUAUGUUAUAAAUCUCAACCUGGAAUUUCAUAUUUUAGUUUUAAACAAUUUCAUGCAUACUUAUGUUUAUCUUACAAUCUUACAAUUUUAAAAACCCUAAACCCCGAGAUUUCCACAUCCCAAGCUCAUCCUGAUGACUCAAAUACCUAGGUUUCAUUAAAUUCUAAGUAACGAUAAUAAAGUAUUAUCGGUGACAUCUUAGGAUAUCAAGGGAAACCCCACUGAAAUCCCUGUUUGGAACCCUAGGGAUUACUAGGAUCUGAUUUCUCUAUAUCAAGUGACCUCUGUUUCAUUCAAGAAGUGAAUUAAAAGCUAGAAAACAUUAAAAAUCUUAGAGAAAGAGAGAGAGAGAGAGAGAGAGAGAGAGAGAGGGGAGGGGGGUGGCAAUGGAGUUCUCUCUCAUUUCUCCUCUUCUCUAACUGCACUUCUUCUCACAUGUCAAUCAACCUGAUCUAAUCAGUUUGAAAGUAGAUAUUGUCAUAUUGAUAGAAUUUAUAAUCCAAUGUCACCAAUAUUGACCCAAUCCAACGAUUUCAAUAUAAAUGGAUCAGAUAUGGAUUGGCAUCUAUUAUGGUGCAUGUGAUCAAACUAAUCAGUUCAUAAGUUGAUUUGAAUCAAUCAAGUGUCUACAACUGCUAUUAGCCUCAAAUAUAUCCUGCACGAAAGCAACAACAAUCAUGUCACUCAAAUAAGUCCAACAAUAACAACAAUGACAGUCUGUUCAAAUUUGAGCCUACAGCAGCAGGUCCAUCUAGACCUCUGGACUAGCUGACUAAGUCCUUUGUCCAAGAAGUCUAAGACUCAAGUCCAGCAUGACCUAGUCCUUUGUCCAAGCAGACUAUAAGUCCAGCCGAUAGCAGAAAGAGAACUUAUGAGUUCCCAAUCACUCCGUUCAGGACAGAGACUGGAUCCUUGUCAGUGCCAAACAAGACUUGCUCAACUCCAAACAAGAGUUGGGAAUUCUUAUGGAUGUCAGACAUUGAUAAACUUCCAAAAAGAAUGUUCAGCUGGGAGAACAGAGAGACAGCAGCAACUUAAGUUACUGCUUAGUUCAUUUUAUUUAAGCUACUUAUAAUAAAAUUGGCAAAAAAAAGCCUUGAAAGACUCUAGUUCUAUGUAUUUCUUAGCAAAUUAUUCAAUUUUGAAGAAUUAGCUGUUCCUGUGCAGUUCAACUAUAAAAUAAAGGCAUUUAAUGACAACAAAAAGCUUACCAAAUAAGAUAAUUAUUGAAAUAUAAUUUAUUUCAUUCAUGAUUUUAAGCAUCAGUUUGAUAUAGCAUAUUCUAUCAAAAAUUUACCGGGUCAGAAUAUGAGAUAAACUAUUAGUCAUUCAAGAUAUUAUUAUCGAUUCACCGUCAUUAUAAACAGAGUACCAAAUAAAUGGGAUGGAAUCAACCAUCCAUUUGAAAUCUAGCAUGCUGUUGACCCAACAGGAUCAGUAUUUGUAAAUAAAAUAGGACUCCUAAAAUAGGACUGCAGAGUUAAAUGGUAAAAUCAAGCUAAGUUGAAAUUCCAGUUCCUGAACAAAAUUCUUUGGUCCAUUGUAGGUUAAUCUUACCUGCAAAUUAACGUCAAUUAAUAAGAAAUUUAACAGUGUAUUAAUAUACAUAGAUAUAACUUCUUCUGAGAGGCUUCCUCAUGAGGAGGAUUAUAGUAAAGCUUGCUUGUGCAUGCAAACCUGCUCUACUAAAACAAGCAAUGAAAAAAAAAACCUUUGCAAGAGAUCAUAUUUAAGCAAAGCACAACACUGUACAUAAUCCCAUCCUACCAUCUGAAAGGUCAAACAGAUCCUAAAAGUUUGCACCAGCAAUUAUUGUUAAUUUCAAGAAUAGAGGUACAAGGGAAAGCUAUGGCUUACCUAUCUGGGAAAAAAUCUUUUCUCCAACAAGCAACCCAAAUCUAAGGAACAAGCCCAAGCUCAUGAUGAAAUUCACAAUAGUCCCACUUCCUCACCAGCAUUAAUCUGCCCCAAAUCCACUCCUUCAUCGAACUGCUCCACCUCAAAGCUCGGACUUGUGGCUACCAUCUCACCUGCCUCCACUGGUCUUAGCUGCUCACCGAGAUCGGUCAACUCCUCAACAGCAUCGGUCCUCGCAUCCUCACUUGAGUCCACUCGCGCCUCAUCCCCACCGCUAUCAGGCUCUCCUUCUCCCCUGGCACCAGCCUCCCCUUCUGCCCCAGAAGAAUCCGCUGUAUCGACAGAUUUCCCAUCGACCCUUGGCUUCAUGUCCGCAUGAACCUUCCGGGACUUUCGGUUCUUCCGCAUCUCCUUGUCCCUCAUCAUGCUGGCUUCCGCUGAACUCUCUCCUUCCGCCGACGCCCGCCGACGUUUCCGGCUGCUGCCACCGUCGCCGUCCUCACCGGCGGACGCAACGUCUUCGUCCGACGACAGCUGCACCACGUGGUUGAGAUUGGUUCCGGGGCUAGGAUUAGCGUUAGGAUACGGAUUAGGAGGAGGGACAGCGGUAGGCAGGGGAGGCGGAGGAGGCCCAGGGUUAGGGUUAGAAUUAGGGCAGGGGUACUGACAAGCAUAAGGCAAAGAGUAAGCGCUGGGAGCAACAGGAUUGAGAUUGGAGCCAGGGUUCGGGCCAGGAGGUACGGCGACGAUCCAGCUCUGACCAUGGACGCCGGCUGCACAGCCGGCGCAGAGGAAAGACCACUCCACGCGGCAGAAGGGGAUGCCGGCCGCCGCCCGGCAGCACUCGCACUCCCUGGGGGCGAUCCCACCGCCGAGACCGGGUGGGUUGCCUCGGCCACCCCGGCCGCGACCGACGCCACCGCUACGGCUCGCCAUCGCGGUCUCCUGGGCUCGUUGGAUGUUGGGGGUCGGGGUUCGGGGACGGGAAAGUCCCGACUCCGAGUUCCUCACGCGCACACGUGGAGGGCUCAUCGUCCACAAAAACUCUAGAUGAGAGGGGGGAGACCGCGGUGGGUCUUGGCGUCCACCGCGGCAGGUCAUAUACCGACGCACCGACUCGGGCGCACUCUCUAAGUCCCGCUCACUCCUGUCACAAGGAACCAGGUUGACGCAAACGAACACCAAAUUUGAUUUCUGUUAAGCCGCUGACUUACGUUAAGCCAUUUAUAAAUCUUACUUUUUUAUUUUAAAAAAAUGAAUAAAAGAACUGUCAAAACAAUAAAAGUAGGGAGAUAAAAAGGUUGAAGGGAGAUAAAAAGGUUGAGAAAUAAUUUGUCCAACGUAAUUGUAUGAUAAGGAUAUAUCAUAUAAGAUAUGUAUAAUGAAGGUGUGAUUUAUGUUAAUAUAAUAAAUUAUAAUAAAAAAUAUACCAACGAAUAUAACGACCCUACGAAGAUUUUUGACUAAAGGUGACGAGAAUAAAAGAACUGUUUUGGUAGGGAGAUAAAAGGUUGAAGGGAGAGGAAGUCAAAAAGAGAGAAGCGCUUUACAGCUGGAAUUAACGAUGGAGGUGAAAGAACAAAAAUUAAUAGAUGAGAAAAAGUAAUUUGUGUUUCCGUUAAUUCUAAUUAUUAAUUAAUGUAAAUACAUUUGGAACAAAUAAUAAGAAAGAUUGGAGUUGAUAUUCGAUCGAUUUUUUACGGUAGGUUUAUAUAGAUUAUUAAAAAAAAUUAGAAUCAAACAUGCAAAUGUAAUUGGGAAAUCACAUUAAAUGGUGCACAAGAUUUGUGUGCUUCAGUCACAAAUUGAGUCAAAUAGUGGUCUGACCCAGUAAUAGGAUAACGAAUCAAUUAGCUAAAUGGCUUGAGGGGUCAAAAUUCUGGUCCAUGUUCGGCUCACAUUUGCAUCACCCAAACAUGGUCAGGUUGUUGGACGCCCUAUACAUCCAUCACUCGAUUCCGUCUCCGUCGAUGCCUCGGCAUGGCUUCCGCUUCAUCACUCUUUCCCUCGCGCCUUCUUCCCAUCCCCGGCCAUGUCCGCGUUGCGGUGUACAGCAAUCCGACGUCCCUUCGUGUCCUUCUCGAGCGACGGCCAAAGGGGGAUGCCAAGGCGCGGAGGGCCCUCUUCCGCGUGGCAGCGGAGGGCAGAAACGGGCUGAAGCAGGACGACGACGGCGGCGGCGGAGUGGACCUGGGGAGGGACCGCCAGCGGCCGGCUUUCAACCUCCGGUGGCGAGAUCUCCUGUCCCCUGACCCCGAGAACAUUGCGGCCGUCGCGUUGACCGGCCUCCUCACCUGGGCCAGCGUCCAGGUCCUCUUCCAGCUCUUCGUCAUCUCCGUUGCUAUCCUCCUUGCGGCCGUCAAGUACUCCUUCGUCGCCGCUCUCCUCCUUAUCAUACUGAUCACCCUCCUUUGAUUUAUAUCCUGAUGUGCUCUCACUAUGUGAAUAGGAGUAGUUCCCACGCAGGAACCAAUUGGAUGGUGUGCUUCGUCAUUUUUUGCUUUAAGUAUGUGGAAUUGGGGGUUUUUUUGCCUUGAGAAAGUUGUUCAUAGAUAAAUUAUAUCUAUAAAUUCUAAUUAAAGAUCCUUGUUGCACUUUGGGUGGACGUUCCUUAAUCAACUAAGAAAAGGGUUUUAAUCAGCUUACUCCAUAAUCUUCGUUAACUCGCACAUUUUUAUCUGGUAGCGCUGAUGUAAGAAAUGUCAUUUUAAACUUCUGUUGGGAAGCAAACUGCAAGACAAUGUUUACCAAAUUGGUUUACAAACUUCUUCACACAGAAGCAAAGCUGUGCUAUCUUUGUUGGGAAAAGAUUGGUAUUAAGUGGACCUUCUAUAGAUUGAGAACAUUCAGAUAUAGAUCCAUUAAAGAUUUACUUCUUGGCUUGGGGAUUGAUUUGGUACUUUUUGUUACUAUUGGUUAUUGUGUGUUAGAAUGGACUCUGGAAGCUGGUUGUUUUGGUGGUAGUGAAUGGAUAUGCACCGCAUGGAGGGCCAAUGCUUUACUAACCUUCUGGAGAUCAGCAGAAACUGUAUGUCAUUCUUUGGAAAUGGAAUCAUUUGAUUUGGGUUUUACACAUGUAAUUGAUUAGUCUAGCAAUUGUUGUUCGGCAGCAAAAUUCUAUGGUAUUUUGGUGGUACAAACAUUUGAUUUGGAUUUGACACCUGUAUUUAAUUAGUAUACAAAUGCAGUUGUUGUUCCACAGCAAAAUUCCAAGGCAGUAAGGACUGGGACUCGUUUAAGUUUAUUCCCAUCAUUUUGGGCUUGGCCUUAAAGUCAAGAAAUUAUGUUGCUCUAAUUUCGUAUCUGAUCUCUGACCAGCAUAUUGUAGUUUAGGCACUAUUGAGGCUGAGACACAAUGAACCAUUCUACCCAUGAAACUCAAGAUAUGCUCCCAAAAUUGGGAUGUACCAACUUGGUUGCUAAUUAGAGACUCUAACCAGCUUAUAUUACUGAGGACGUAGGAACUUGGAACAGGAUCAUGAUUUUAGUUCUUUGCUCGAGUAUCAAUUUUGAUGAGUCCUUUGGAGUAUUCAUUCUGGUAUUCUUGGCUACUUCUGCAUAGAGUUUUUAUAAUACAAAACUAAUAGGUUCUCUUGAUUUUAAAAAAUUAAAAGGUCCUCUGGCAAAACAGAAACAGUAUAUUUUCCUUGCAUGACAAAAGUGGUUUGUAAACCAACUUGAAUGGUUAUACGAUACUGUUAUUUUUUUCUUUUUUUUUAUUUUCUUUGAGAAUUGAGUUAUGCAAAGAUGUGAACCAUUAAUGUAAUCAGAUCAGAUCGCAUUAAUUCAUUGGUGAGAAUGUUUAGGAGCCUUUAGUGUUCCCAAAUAAGCCUGUAUUAGUGAGUUCUGAUAGAUAUUGUAACAAGCACAUUUAUGGUGCUUUCUAUGCCAUCUCUGAGAUUUGAUAAUUUUCUUCUUGUCUAUAUUUUGUAUCAGAACAGGGUUUUCGGGACUAAUUUAUAUUUUGGAGAAGGCUUUUGACAGAUACAUUGCUUUGGUUAUUAACAUCUCUUUGCACUUUCUUUACUGAUUUAUGGAAAGAGUUCUUGGGUCCUUCUCAUUUUGGCAUGCAUGUUAUAUGUUGGUUAAUUAGUUCACGAGUCUGACUAAGGCCACACAUAUUUCUGUUUUGUGGAAAAGUUGUUUAUUUCAACUCCUGUUUAUAAACAAUAUACACAGCAACUUGAUUGUCAAUUAUAAAUUUAAAUAGGGUGGACAAAUUGGCUCCUUCUUGGCGAUGCAAAAGCAAAAACAUGCUAUAUUUUGUUGUGAAGUGGUUGCUAGUGAGUGGUUUUAUUGGAAUAGGAACUGAAUAAAAGUAGACUAUGAAUUUGAUUUAUUUGUCCUAGCAACAAGUGAUUAUGGUUUCUAAUUUUCUAAUAUUUGGUUAUAUGUGUUGUGCCCUAAAUUCCUGUCAGUAAAUCUGAUUUUUCUGUUAUCUUUCAAUAAAUUGAAGGCAGUUAGCCUAUAACAAAACACAAGUUAUGACACUCUCAUAGUUAUUUUGUAUCGCUGUCAUUUAAUACAAAUCAUGUUUGCUUCUUAUCCUCUCUUGUAAAGGUACAUCAAAACACAUUGUCAAUAUGGCUUGCAUGUUUAUGCUUUCUACAUACAACAUAUGAACUAAUGUUAAUUGCAGGAAUUUCCUAUUUACACCUCAGUUUAGUCCUACAUUGGAAUUCUAUAUUGGGAGUGGGCAAACACUAAGAUUGACUUAUAAAUGUAGGUUUAAUGAUUGUAUUAUUAUUAACUUUGGCUUAAACAUUUUAGGUUAGUGGUUUAUACUUAAUGAAGUUAACAAGUCAGUUAUCUCAUUAGGCUAAGUCAUGACAAUUGGUAUCAAUACCGACCUAGUAUUGGGGCAUGGUGAGAGACUUGAGUAGGAAAGGCCUAUCUGUAGACAUGGUCAAAAGGCACAUCACAACAUGGAGCUACUACUGGGCUAAGUCUUACAUGCCCUAUGUUAGGGCUUGAUUCUACACUAUGUUGAAUCUUGACGUUAACAUCAAAUUGUUUAGUGGGGUAGACAGUAGAAGUGGGUAAAGAUUAAGAUUGAUUGUCUAAUAGGUGUACUAUUACUAACUUAUGCACAUUUUGGACCAACGAUGAAGAAUCAACGAAGUUAACAUGCCAAUUAUCAUAAUUAGACUAGCUCAUGACAAUAGGUCAUACAACUAUUUAUUCAAAAUAAAAUGUUUUAAUCCAUAAGUUUUACCUUAUUAAAUGGAUUACAAUUACAGGAAUUGACAAAUUAAAUCUUAGACAUAAAAGCAAUAGAACAUCUCACAUAGGCAACAUCAGAAUUUUGUUUACUGUUAUUCUGUCUUUGUUACAAGUAAACUCAGGACUUGUGACAACUUUCAAAUUGAACAAUCUUUGCUGUUCAGAAAUAUAAAAUAACUAAUUUAAACAUGCAAAGCUCUUCAACAACAAAAACGCUGGAGCUUGGUUGAGCAUUCAUCUAGCUAAGAAACUGAGUUUUGAGUUCAGAGAUUCAAUCUUUGAUCUGUCCGUUCAUAUAGCUAAGAAACUGAGUUUUAAGUUCAAAGAUUCAGUCUUUGAUCUGUCCAUUCGGUUCAUUCAUUGGGUAAGUGGUUCCACUAAAGUAAUACUAAUGUAUAUGGAGUUAUUAUUAUUAAUACGAUUUUGGAAAAUAAACAACGUAUACAAACUGUUCAGAACAUUUUGCAAUGAUAGCAUCUAUGAGGCUGUCAUAAGGACAUUAAGAUGUAUAUUUGACAUAAAUAUGUCAUGAUCUCUUCCUUUCUUUAUAAAAAUAUCUAUUUUUUAACUAUAUAAUUCAGUAGAGACAUGUGAUAAUGAUUCACCCUCUAGUUAAGUUUUGGAAGCAUAAUGACUGUAUAAAAGUGGUUCAGUUGUAACUCAAAACACAUAUGCACCAGAAUGAUAAUGACCAAAAAUAUUGAACGAAGGAAAAAUGAUAUCAAAGAAGAAUGCUUGCUCCUGGAAAGUUAUAAUAAUCGCUGGAAGUGGAAUAUUCAUGUGGUUCAUAAAGGUUCUUCCAUGAAUAUCCAUCUAAGUGUUUGACUUCAUUAACUUAUAUUUGAGUUUGUGCACCUUACAAACUUUUUCAUCCAUUUGAAAUCCCCUCAACUUGUGGAUUUCAACUUGGGCCAGGAAUUCCUUCUAAGUAUGCCUCACACGCAACAGCCCUUUAACUUGAGGAAGUUGGAUUCAACUUGAGAAAAUCAUACAAAAUUUAAAUCAGAUGACUAAGAAUUCUGUGAUUGCAACUGAUUGUAAUAAGUGCAGUCUAUAUAAUUGAAUGCAGAGAGCAUUAUUCUGCCAUAUGCUGUGAUUCCUGUAAUAAGGUAUGAUCUCCAUAAAUGUGUAUCUAUUUUCUGCACUAAAUCAAGUAUAGGAAAUAACCUUGUGAUUCUUAUAAGCUGUUUGAAGAAACUAUUGCGAUAUUAUUGCUGUAUAAUUUUAGUUUACCAUGCUUCUUUUAAUACUUGCCAACAAUUCUUUUCCUCAGUAACAUCCAUUAUUCUCAUAGUUACUUAUAUGUCCAUCUUCAUUGGGACAAGGAUCAUUGCCUUCAUCAAUUGUUGAUGUGUCCAGGUUUAAUACAGCUGAUUCAAAAAUGUUAUAUGACAUAUGAUGCUAUCAGUUUUUUGCAGAUUGGUUGCUCGAAUAGUAAUGCUUUUGAUAGAGGUCGAACUGUUUAUGUCGUUUGGAUUUCUGAAGUUGAAAUUCUAGUACUGAAACUCUUUUCUUCAGUAUCACAAUUUUGAUAUCCCCUUUUUUUUUAUCUCUAUAUCAUUAUUCUAUAAUGGGAAGAAAGAUCUGAAAUAGUAAGGAAGAAAUCUCAUUUUCUGAAAUAGGGAAACUAGAAAUCCCAUUUUCUUUAUUUAUCAUGAAAGUUAUACAGAAAGUGAAUUAGCAUCUAUUCUAGAUUGAUGUAUUUUUUAUACUAUUAAAUUGGUAUAAUAAGCUAAAUUGAGUUGAUUAGUCCAACUGUUGUGGACUAUGAUUUGAUUGUCCUUGGUCAAAUUGAUACCACAAAUCCUUCAAACGAGGUGUGAUUUGUGGACAUAACAUUAUUGCUCUCUUUAUCCUUGGAUACCUAUGAGAAGCAGGGUAUCGGAUGCGGUGAAUUCUAAGGUAAUGGAUACAGCAAUUCAUCAGCUAUAAUCCCUUUAUCCUGCAUUUGCGAUUACAUGGUGACUUGUUUGGAAUGCAGGUUGUCAUUGGAUUUGCGGAACUCAAGAUGCACAGAACGAUGAAACAAGAAGUAAUAGUUUUGAGGACAAGAGUUGCACUUGCAGCCUUGCAAUUUGUUGCAACAAGUUGGUUUCAUGAUGAUGUAGGGUGCAAAAGUAAUCCCAAAUGUGCAUUUGGCCAUCAUAUAAGCUAUCAAAAGUAUUUAAAGGGUGUUAGCUCUAAAAUAUGUUGAAAUUGAAUCGAAAAAAUUGAACUCAAAUUAAACCUAAAUCGAAUUGAUUCAUCAAUAAUUUAAUUUUGAAUAUUAUAAAUGGUUGUAGUUUAGGAUGGUACUUUUUGAUUUGAUUAAUCGAUUUAGAUCGAGUCGAAUUGAUUUUAAUUUAAAAAAUAUUUACUCAACCCAAACAUCUCAAACCUCUAAAAUCUUUUCCAAACUCUUAAGUGUUCAUCAUCUUUCUUUCUUCAUAUCUAUACUUCUUUCACAUCAUCCCUUUCUUAGUCUUACUCUAUCGUCUCAUAUAUAAUCUUUUUUUUUUAUCCUUCUUCGUUAAUAAUUUUUUUGUUGAUUUAUAUGAAUUCCUUUGUUAAUUUGAAUAUAUUGCUUGCAUAUCCUCAUCAUUAAGAAAAAAGGACGGCUUGUGAAGUUGUUAAUUUUCUAGGAUAUCUUUUAAUAUAAAAAUAAAAAAUCACUUGCGUCCAACUGUUUAGAAUAUUUGGAAUGAUAUUUAUGAUAUAAAUUUUUGAGAAUGUAUGUCCAAUUAGAUCAAAAUUUUAGUUUUAUUCAAUUAAACUGAUUGAUUCAUCAAACCUAAUCAGUUCGUUUGAAAUAUAUAUUAAAUUACUUAAAAUUAAAAACUGAUUACUCGAAUCAGAUUAAUCAGUUUUGAACCGAUUCAAUUAGGUACGUCUAAAAUAGUUUUGAUCUGGAGUAUCUUGAUUUAGGGGGGUGAGUGGUGUGGUGUAUGAUGAGCAAAAAUAAAGAGUAUAGUGAGAGAUGAUUGAGUGAAAGAGCUUGGGAAAGAUAAGUGGUAGAAAUGAGAAUAUUAACUUAUAUUUUCAAUCAUAACUUGUCUUCCCAAUCAGUUAACUUUGAUUAGUUUAAGAAAUGACUUAAUAAAUCUAAAUAAGUGUAAAAUAACUAUGUAAAGAUAAUCAAGUGAGGUUAGAAGGCUUGCUUUAGGUGGAAGAGGCGAAAAUAAAGAAUGCUAAGAGUUAGUCAUAAGUCAAAUACAAUUAGGGGUUUAAUCAAUUCUAUUCUUCGAAUUAAUACAUCAUAUAAACUUCAAGGGUAGGGAACAUUUCUUCCGUAAAUAACCCUUAACAUAAAUAAAAUGAUCUAAGACUUUUGGCCUUGAACGUUGAAAUGGUAAUAAAGUGGAUUGUGAUGGUACAGUAGAGGUGAUGGUGCUUAAGGUGGUGGUUAUUGAUAGGGGCUACGUUAACAAUAAUUAAUGAUUUAUAUGAUUGCUCCUUUUCGUGAUGGUGUCACUGCUAUGAUGGCGAUGAUGCUGCUGCGAUGAAAACGAAGGAGAUGGAUGGUGAGAAGAACGAGGGAAUAAGAAGAAGUAAGGAUAGGGUCUCUCGUCCGUCAGGACUAUCUUAUCAUUUAGGUCUCUUACCUAAGGUUCUUCAUGGCUACAAGCACUAAAUUCUUCAUUUAUUUAUUUCAAAAUAUGGAGGAGGGUUUACAAUACUUUUAUAAGAAUGUAUAUCCUUUGGAUGAGUGACAAAUGCCCCUUCUAGAAAAGAAGUGGGUAUGGAUCCAAAGGAUAUAGACAAGUGUCAACAAUUAGAUGAGUAUCAAAUGCUUUCUUCUAGAAGAAUGGUGGGCAAAUAUUCAUAAAAUGAGGAUAAAUGUCUAUCCUUGCAUGAAUGUCACAUACCCUCCUAAACGAGAGGGAGUUAAAGAUUCAUAGGAUGGAGACAUAUGCCCACUCCAAAAUCCCCUACCACAUGCACUUUAAGAUGUGUGCAUGAGUGUAGUGCCCGAGUCUUAUGUAUAUUAAAUUACAACUAGCAUCUCAAUAAAAAUAAAAAUAAUAUAUAUGUUACUCUCAUUUAGUAAUAUAAUUUGUGAUGUUUAUGUUUCAUUAAUAUGAUAAACGAUCGUUAAAGUUAAAGUAUAAAAUUUUCAAAAUAUGUUAUUCAUAAUGUUCUAACAAAUUUUGGUUGAGUAUGCAUAGUAUCAAUGUCUACUUUAAGCAUAUUUUAUAUUUUAUAGUAAUAAGACAAAGUGUGCUAGUGGACUUGAAUAUGAGAUAAAGUUAUGAUAAUAAAUAUUCAUAUAAUGACUAAAAGUGGGGGUUAAAAUUUAAUUGAUCUAAAGUGAAUCUCUUGAAUAAGUUUUAAACAUCAUAUAUAUAGAUAAUAAUAAGUUAUUUCGACAUAGACGAGUAACAAAAAAUUAAAUAGAAAUAUUGAGAUACAUAAGUAAGAUUAAAGAAUGAGUUUAGAUCAAAAAUGUCAUCUUUGUCAAACCAAAUUAAAUUCAAUUAAAGUUGUUUCAACCUUAUAAUUAUAUUAGUUAAGAAAAAUAAAAAACUUUAAAUAAGGUCCAAUGGGAUUGAACCAUAGACAUCAAGCUAACCUCUUAAGCACCUCUAUCUUAUUUUGAUCUCAUAAUCUUUAUCAACUUGAUAACUCAUAACCCUUUCUCUUCUUCAAUCAUUCUCUCAGUUUUUCUCAUGGAGGAUAGGAAAUCCUAUCUCAAGUUGAGGUAAAAAAAACCUAAUUCUUCCCUUGUUAUAUCUAGGAUUUUGAUUUUAUAAAUUAUAGAUUGAUCUUUUUAGUUGCUUUUGAAUAACCUUUGCUUUGAAUUUAUAUUUGAUUUUUAGACAUAUUUUAUAUAAAUCUCUUAUGGUUCUAAGGCUUUUAGUAUGACUUUAAUAUAAAAUUGGUGUAUAGAACUAUUAGUGCCCCAAUAUGAGAUACUCAGAAUCUUUUAUUUUUUGAGAAAGAGUUCUAUUUAAGCUGAUUUGACCCACUUAUGGAUAUGAUUAGAUUUUUUCUUUUGAUAUAUUUUAAAAUGUUCCCUUAGUAUUGCGUGGGAUUUGAAUACGAGUAAAUACCCCUUUGUGUAUCAAGAUAUGAGGUAUAUAAGUUCAAAUAGUCCCAACCUAAUUUCAAUGGAACAAAAUAGUUAUUGAUAAUUGAAUUAGAAGAGUAAUUUAGCCUCCAAAUGAUUCCGUUUUAAGUUAAAAAUUAGUGUGUAUUUAGUUCUAUAUAGUUUUUAAAUUUUUUUAUAACAUUUCAUGAUAAUUCAAAAUUGUGUCAUUAGUUAAAAUAAUGAAGUGAAAUUUCUUGAUUGAUAUUAGUUUAUUUAAUUAUAGAGUGAAUUGUUAAAAGAAAAUUUGGUGGUGAAAUUUUGAUGAAUUUUCAAAUUGACUAUAGUCUAUUUUAUUGAGAUUUUUAUUAAAUUUUUUCUAUAAAUUUUGUUAUGAAUUAUUAUAAAUCAAUAAUUCAAGAGAUAGAGUUCCUAAUUAAGGCAUGUCAUGAUCCUAUGCUCUCAAUUUGAUAUAUGUAUCAUUCCUUAACAUACUUAAUUAUUACAAAAUAUGAACUUUCAUUGAUAUCUUCAUUUCUGAGUUAAAUAAGAUAAGUAUAAGUCUAAUCCAUUGCAAAAUGGUGAUCAUAUAAAUUAUCAUAUUCAUAAUAUAUUUUAAAAAGUAUGUUCUAAAUGAUAUGAUUGUUAUAAGCUAGACAGCUAAAUGUGAAUAUAUAUAUAUUUUUUAAGUAUAAAAAUAUAUGAAUUGUGAUAAAAAUUAUAUUGUAUUCAUACAUAUAUGAUGACGUAUAGUGUAGGAAUGCAUAAAUAUAUUAUGAUGUACGAUGCAUGUAUAUGCUAUGAUGUACAAUAUAGGAGUGCACGUAUAUAUUAUGAUGUGUAGUAUAGAAGUGUACGUAUGUAUUAUGAUGUGUGGUGUGAGAGUGUACACGUAUGUCAUGAUAUAGGUGGUAGAUGUCCAUAAAUUUAUCAUGUUUCUUUUGCAUAUACUAUGUUGUAGGGUUAUGCUUCCGAAAAAAGUCAUACAAUUAGGUGUUUAUUGUUAAAUGUCUUAUGUUGAUGAUUUUGAAGUAUUGUAUACAUGACAUGAUAUAUGCUCACUUAAAUAAAGUUAUAAAGAUUUAUACUAAGUGAUAUUCAAUAUAGACCCUAUUUUACAUGUAAAAAUAUUAGUAUUUCGCCCAUGUGAUUGGGUAAGGAAAUGAGCACGCUUGAGCCUAUGCUACUAUAGACAUGGACAAUGACCUAUAGACAUUUGUUUAGUUAUAACUUUUUGACAUAUUGUGUGAGUGUGUUUUCCGCUUUGUUAGAUGCUAUAAUUAUGUACAAGUGUCAAAAUUACUGUGUAUAAGGGGAGCACUAUCAUUUUAUUUAAUAAAUUAAUAUGUUUUAUUUUUAAGAUUACCUACAUUCCUAUUGAUAGCAGUAAAAGAACUAGAAAGUGACAAUCUACUUUAAUCAUAUAUGUAGGGUGUGGGUGAGAUGAGAAGGGUAUUACAAUGAUAUCCCCCUUUAAUGACCCCAUAAAAGCCCAAGCUCAAUAUCUAAUAUAGUGCGGUAGAGGUAAUGACACUUAAGGUGGUGGUUGUUGACAUAAGCCUGAGUUAAUGACAAUCGAUAGCUAAUAUUGUUACUCUUUUUAGUAGUGGUGUUGUUGGUAUGAUGGGGAUGAUGUUGCUACAAUGAAAACAAAGGAGAUGGAUAGUGGGAAGGAGAGAAUUAAAAAAAGAUAGAGUAGAGUCUCUCACCCUUGAGGGCUCCCUUCUCAUUUAGGCCUCUUAUCUAAUAUUCUCCGUGGUCACAAGUACUCAAUUAUUAAUUCAUUCAUUCAUUCCUGAGAGAGGGUUUAUAAUACUUUUAUAAGGAUAUCCAUUGGAUGAGUGAUGAAGAUAAGUUUUCAUUUUUAAAUGAGUAACACAUAUUUACUUCUAAAAAAAUUAUAGAUAGGGCCUACGAGAACAAGUGUCCACCCUUAUACAAAUGUCACAUGUCCCUUUUUAGAUGGAGUUAGAUUCAUAGGAUGAAGAGAUAUGUUCACUCCAAAAUCUUCUACCAAGUGCACUUUAAGAUGUGCCUAUAACAUAUCUUUGAUGAUCAAUACAAGUCCAAACCCAAAUUCCAAUAUAAUACAAAUAUAUCUAAUGUCCAAAGUUUACUCUAAUAUAAUAAAAAAUAUUAAAUAUAAAAAUAUAUCUUGCAUUAGCAUUUAGGCUGGCUUCAUUACAAUACAAAUUUUUGGAUCAAAAUCUUGUCAUCACUAUCUAAAAUGGUUUUAAAAAUUCACUCAUUUAGAUUUAGAUCUUACUAAAUAUAGUCUAAUAGUAUAAUUUAAAAUCAUUUGAAGCCAUACAAAUUAUUCAUAUAAUUAGUAAAAGUACAUUUAAAGUUCCUAUACAUAACUAAGAAUAAUCUAAUUAAGGGACCCAUUAGUUUGACAAUCAUAGCUGAUUUAUAACCAUAAAGUUUCACAUUUUAUAUGAUAUCAUCUCCUGACAUGCAACUAUUUGAAGUUUGAAUUUUGAUGAUAUUCUUUCCGAAGCAACUUGGUCAAAAUGUAUCAAAUCAUUGAUAUUUAAAGGGACAAAACGACCAUCAUUGAAUUCAUGUUCUUGAUAAUUCUAAAAUUUAUGUCCAAAGAAAACUCUGUAUUUUCUAAUGAAAAAAUAAAUGUUAUUGAACACUUGGAAUAUUUCGUUGAGAGUCGACUUGGCAGAUAAUUUCGUAAAUUGAUGUUCAAAUUUUAAGAGUUAUGAUGCCUGCCAUGGGAAAAAAAAAUUGCAAAGCAUUUUUCACAAGUCGUAGGUUCGAUAAAAAUUUUUAUAUCAACUAUUCUAUUUUCAUUAUAUCUUUUUUAGAAUUAAAAUAUUAGUUUGAUAUUGAUACACUAUACUCAUCUAUCAAAUGUUGAGUAUUUGAAAUUUGAUCAUAUCAAUUAGGCAUCAACAAGAUCUUGGAUCAAAUUCCACCUUCACAUACUAUUCACCUUAGUGCAACACCAAUAAACUAAUGCCAUCGGUUUCAUGUAUAUCGAAAUAGGUAUAUCUAUAAACAUGAGGAUGAUUGGGAGACACGUCAUUCGUAAAUCGGAACAGAGCUUGUAGAUUUGGACUCACCCACAGAUUUGAUGAAGUAAUCAUAUGAUGUGGAUCAGGAUCGAGCCGAGAAAUGUUGACUGGCCAACAGGGCCGAGUCCAAAUUGGGUUGGGGGGUCAAUCGAUUUGCUAGUCAAAAUCGCAAUCAUGUAUAUUUGACACACCAACGGUAUUAGGGGACCGGAAGGUGGCCAUGUUCACAUGUUCGUGGGAAAGUAGGGGUUUGACGAAAGGGAACGGUCCUAAUUGAUGAUGCGAAAAGAACGAAGAAGAAUAACAACAGAAUUUUUUUUGUUUACUUAAAUUCAAUCAUGCAUUAUAACUAUAUAUAAAAAAGUCUUUAUUAUUGUGCUUUUAUGCUCUCUUAAUUAGUUUUUACUUACAGAUAUUAUUUUUUUAUCAUUUUAACGAAAAUAGUCCUUCGUCCUCCACCCAUCGUUCCAAUCAUUGGUAUGUAUAUCAUUAUCGUCUCGAUCCACUACGAAUGGUGUUGUUUGUAUCUUUCGUCGUCUUUAUCUCUACUCCAUUGACAAUCAUAUUAUUCGUCACACCCUCCUCUUUCUUUGCCAUUAAUCAUUCGUUGUUGUUUGUUGUAUUCUCCUACUCAUCUCUUCCUUGUAUGCAAUAUUCGUCUAUUAGAGUCCUAUACUCCCAUUGCAAGUGGAGUGAUGAGGAAGGAGGGAGAGGACAAAAAAAACCAUAGGCUACACCACUCGUAAUGGAGGCAGUCUAUCGAUAAUUGAGAGUAAUUAGUGAAAGAUAAAUGAAUUUUUCAAUCAAAUUAAUAAAAAAAUUAAAAAAAUACUCAAUUUAAUUAUAGCAAAUUUUGAAGUAACAUAUUUAGUCUAUCCACUAUCCAUAAAAUAUUAAGAUAUUUAUUAAUAUAUAUUAAUAAUAAAGAUAAUCAUUAUUAAAUAUGAUUAUUAAGAGUCAUAAUACUUAUAUUUCUUUAACAAAUGUUAAAGAGCAGGAAGCUCAAUUAAUAUUUUAAUAUAUAUAUAUACAUAUAUUAUACAUAAAUAUGAUCCUUGCACUUAAAAUAAUAUAUUAUCAAUGAAGCAUAUACGUCACCAAUUAGUAAUUAUUAUUAAACAUGAUUAUUGAGACUUAUUACUUUAAAGGAUACUAAUAUCAAUUAAUAUUCAUAUAUAUAUAUAUAUAUUAUUGAGAGUUAUAAGACUUUAAAUUUUCUUGCCAACUUUUGAAGGGUACUUAUAUCAAUUAAAAAAUCAAUUAAUAUCUUGAUACGUGGACAUGUACGUCGACAUAUACAUUACUCGGGUAAAUAUAUAAAUCACUAACUUUAGAAGGAUAAAAAAUAAAGAAUAAACGGACAAAAAAUACGACCAACGAAGGAAAGAUAGCGACGAGGAAGCGCCCCCAAACCGGCGACAAAAGAAGGGAAUAGAAACGGUACCUUCUUCCCCGAUCUCCCUCUCCUUUCCGAUCGAUCCCUUUCACUCCUCUCCAUGGCCACGCACUCUCUGCCUCUCCUCCCCCUCCUCCUCCUCCUUUCCGCCUUCUCCGUCCCGGUUCCUCGAUCCUCUGCCGCUGCGGCGGCAACGUCGGAAGCGCCUUUCUGCCCCCGAUCCGACCUCGCCUUCGUCGGCGGCCUCAUAGCGCAAUGCCCUCGCUGGAUCGAGCUGUCUUUCCCCCUGGAGGUACGCUUUAUUUACUCCCUUCUUCUUGCCGUUGAAAGAUCAGUCCCUUUCGCUCGAUGACAUCUUCCUCUUCGCUAUUGGUCUUGGAGUUUUGAUGAUUCCGCAUAAGUCGUUCGAAUCCAGGGCCUGAUUCAUCUGCAAUAGGAUUUUGUAGGUCUGGAUCUGUUCUUCUGAUAUCAACGGUGGCAGAAUCGUAAUUAUAAGGAUGUGACGUUUUAUCUGAGUAUAGCAUUCGUUAAUGCAAGAUGUUCUGAAUAGUGCUAACGCGAAAAUAUACUGAUCUUUCUGAUCUUUUCACUUUUGUUACAAGUUGGGGUAGUCGAUUAAUAUGGUUGUUCUGUUUCUAUGCAUAAAAUAUGCUACUAAUGCGUGCACAGAUGAAAAUAAGAAGCCCACUGAGACAUGCCUUGAUGUUGAGCAGUUAGCUUUACACUAUCUUACAGUUGAUUGAGCCUAGAAUUAUGUAUUGCAUGCAUUAGUUCCUCAUAUGUGAUUAAUCUGCUGAAAUAUUUGCUCUUCAUUGGGUUUUUGUUGAUGCCAACUUAAGAUGAACUGAGAAAGGGGAGAAAAGGAGAUUAAAAAUUUUCUAGAACAGUACAGUCUCAGUUCUCUAUUGGUCCUCAGCUAAAUUUUCAAUUAUUACCCAUGGACCAAGUAUGUGUAGUGUGAUGAAUUGAGAAAAGGGAGAAAAAUGAGAUUAAAAAUUGUCUAGAACAGUACAGUUCCAGUUUUAUAACUGUCAGAAAUAGGAUGAUGGACUCACACCUGUAUUGGUCCCCAACUAAAUUUUCAAUUACUACCCAUGGACCAAAUAUGUGUAGUAUUUGAUAUAAUCUUCUCUUUUCUUGUUGUUAGUGGCAUAAUUAGAUGGUUCUGUGUCAUUAUUUUUGUCAAGCAGAGUGUGACUUUGAAUUACUAAUUAAUUCUGAAUUGGUUGUGGCUGACAAAAUUUCUUGGGAACUGCUUUGAAACCAUAUAGUGAAAUACCUUACAGCAUAGAACUUCUCACAAUAGUUUGUUGCUGAUUCAGUGGUCUAUGCUAUCAAGCUAACUAAUAUCUUUAUACCUUAUUGAGUUUGUACUAGUCAGGGCCAUAUAUUUUUAAUUUAAAUUAAAUUAAAAACUUUCAGCAUAGAAAUCGGGAACCAGAUGUUUAACCUAAUAUGCUGGUGCAUAGGAUAUGGAAGCAUAACCAUCACAUGCUUUUGCAGACGGUCUACUUGUUUGUUGAGACUUGGAUGAGAAACACUUCAAUUCUUUUUGAGAUAUUUGAAGCUUUAAACAGUAUCAUAGUAUAAAGAAUGUGAUCUCUUUUUGUGAUUGCUUUGGUAAAUUUUUAUUUGCUUUUCCUCAAAAGUGUAACGUGGUUGAACUUUAUAGGUGCAUUGUUCAAUUUUUGUUGGAAAUUGAUAUGAGACAUAUGCAUAAAUAUAGUUAACUACCCAAAUAGUUUAUAACUUUAAUGAGUGUGCCUUUAUGAUUAAUAGAGCCUUGCUGUAGUCUUAGACAUGCAUUUUCAGAAGAUAAAAUCAUAACAUUAGAGAAAGCCUUUUUUGAUUAAAAUGAUAAAAGUCAAAUAUUUGGCCCUUCGAUCAUCUGGUGACAUCCUUGGAUGAAACUAAAUUGUUGAAACGAUAUAUGCACACACGCAUGUGCAUGCACUUAUGCACACACACACAUACACACACCACAUACAUUGAAUGAGAAAAACUGAUCGUGUAUAUUUGUUGGAUCAUAUGUUACUUCAGCCAAAAAAAUAACAAAAAAUUGCAAAAACUUUUUUUUUUUUGGAGCUAUUCUUUCAAUUUGCAAUACUAUGGCCGAAUUGAAAGGUGAUAAAACAUUAAUUGUGGAGAUACAUCCUUGAUACUGACAUAGUGUUUCUUUCUUUGAUGAGGGAAAAUUUGGUACUAUUGAAGAAUUUGGAGUAUGUAGCAUGUGGAAACAAAGAAUCUAAGAUGUUGUGUGUAUCGUUAGAAAGUAGUAACAGGUAAUACUCAUCAAAAGGAGAAAAAAGAAGAGAUUGAGAGAAAAAAAAUGAUGAGAGCAACUAUAAGCACUUUUCAGUAAUAUGAAAUCCCUCAGAAUUUCAUAAAACCAUUUCUUGAUAGCAUUUAUGAACUUCUCAUGUGGCUACUAGUUCUAGAAACUAUUGAUCCAGAAGAUAUGUCUACAGUAAGUAUUCCUGUAGUUCUUCAACUGGAAAAUGAGAGUUUUGCUUAAAGUUUUUCACCAAUUAUACUCUUAGGAGUAUCUAAACUUAUAUGAAUGUUGAUUGCAUCUUGGAGAGAUUUUUUUCUGUGAAGCAAAGAUCAAUUGAGAGUUCAUAUAUCUUUGAAUAGUUGUUAUUUUUAGAAAUUAAGCGGCUCAUUAUAUCUUAAUGUCCUUUCAUGCUGUUGUAAUUUCAUAUUAAGUAGCACAACAUAAGCACCUGACUUAUUCAGCAUAGACAUUGAUUCUUUCUAUGGUUAUUAACAUAUAUCAAAACACCACCGGAAUCUAAGGAUUACCUGCAAUGACUUCCAUGCCUUUCAUCAUAAUUGCCCAUCAUCAUAACUUUCUUACCAUAUAUCUAAACUUUGCUCUAGAUCAGCACUGUAGGUCAAUGUCCAAGAUAUGAUCUGAAGUAAUUCUAAAAUGUAGUUUUUCAGCCAAUCAGGCUGAAUUUGGGAUGAAUAUAUAUAGAAAUAUUGAUACAAGUGAACAUCAUUUAGGCUGGUAGGCAAAGAAUCAUUAACUCAAAAGCUUCUGACAACAACAAUGAUGACAAAAAAGUCGUAAAAUCUCAAUUAUUUGAAGUCGGUUACAUGGAUAUUUUGUGGUCAUUGAGAUCUAUAAAAAAUCAUAUGUUUAGUUAAGUUAGAACAUUUAAAUCUUAAUUUAUAGUUUAUAUUAAGAUCUUCCUAUACUUCUUCUUAUACCAUUGAUAGUAAUUAUUUCACCUCUUAACUAUCGCAUUUGUAGGUCUCGGUUUUAAGUACAUAUCUAUAAACGAUUAUUUCUCAUCUUAUCCUAUAUCAAGUUGAUACCUAAUUAUUCAUGAAUAAAACCAUUUCUUUCCCUAUCUUUCCUAUUAUAUCCACACAUUCACCUCAAUAUUCUCAUCUCAGCGGAACAUAUUUUUUAUAUAUGUUGUUUCUUAGUUGCCACACACAUCCAACAAAUUAUUUUAUUGUUUCUAAUAAAAAAAUUCUUUUAGCCUUAAAGGUAUCUAAUGAUCACAUAAUAUAUGUAUUUUAACCAUAUUAUAUAUUAACCAAUUGAGAAAGAGGAGAAUAAACUUUUUUUAACAAUGUUACAUAUCCUCCAUCACUUUGUUUCCUUUUCUUCUCUCCAUGUGAAUAAAUGGGGUUACUGCUCCAUAUGUGUAUGUUCAACUUAUUGUAAUUUAGCAUACCUUACUAACAUCCUUGAUUGAUCUAUCUUAAAAGCGAGUAGCAAAUUUAGUUAACCAUGUGGUAUUUUAAUCUUAUCUUAUACCUUUGUGAAGCUAAAAUAUAUUGUCGUCUAACCCAUUAAACCAAUAUGAAAAAGUUUUAUAAAAUAACUCAAGACCUAAUGAAAAUGAAGAAUUUUAUGAUAUGAUCUUUAACAUCUUGGCAUCUUUGUUGUAGUUUCAAUUGUUUUACUAAUGUUUGAACCAAGGUAUGCAAUUUCGUACCGUACCGGAGUUUCGACGCUUGUUCGGUAUGGUACGAAAUUGUAUACCAUUCGGUAUACCGCUCGGUAUACCAUUCGGUAUACCGUUCGGUAUAUAUAUAUAUGUAUAAAUUAUAUAUAUAUGUAUGUAUAAAUUAUAUAUAUAUAUUUUUUAUAAAAGGCGACGUCGCCUUUUCCUUCUCCCACNNNNNNNNNNNNNNNNNNNNNNNNNNNNNNNNNNNNNNNNNNNNNNNNNNNNNNNNNNNNNNNNNNNNNNNNNNNNNNNNNNNNNNNNNNNNNNNNNNNNNNNNNNNNNNNNNNNNNNNNNNNNNNNNNNNNNNNNNNNNNNNNNNNNNNNNNNNNNNNNNNNNNNNNNNNNNNNNNNNNNNNNNNNNNNNNNNNNNNNNNNNNNNNNNNNNNNNNNNNNNNNNNNNNNNNNNNNNNNNNNNNNNNNNNNNNNNNNNNNNNNNNNNNNNNNNNNNNNNNNNNNNNNNNNNNNNNNNNNNNNNNNNNNNNNNNNNNNNNNNNNNNNNNNNNNNNNNNNNNNNNNNNNNNNNNNNNNNNNNNNNNNNNNNNNNNNNNNNNNNNNNNNNNNNNNNNNNNNNNNNNNNNNNNNNNNNNNNNNNNNNNNNNNNNNNNNNNNNNNNNNNNNNNNNNNNNNNNNNNNNNNNNNNNNNNNNNNNNNNNNNNNNNNNNNNNNNNNNNNNNNNNNNNNNNNNNNNNNNNNNNNNNNNNNNNNNNNNNNNNNNNNNNNNNNNNNNNNNNNNNNNNNNNNNNNNNNNNNNNNNNNNNNNNNNNNNNNNNNNNNNNNNNNNNNNNNNNNNNNNNNNNNNNNNNNNNNNNNNNNNNNNNNNNNNNNNNNNNNNNNNNNNNNNNNNNNNNNNNNNNNNNNNNNNNNNNNNNNNNNNNNNNNNNNNNNNNNNNNNNNNNNNNNNNNNNNNNNNNNNNNNNNNNNNNNNNNNNNNNNNNNNNNNNNNNNNNNNNNNNNNNNNNNNNNNNNNNNNNNNNNNNNNNNNNNNNNNNNNNNNNNNNNNNNNNNNNNNNNNNNNNNNNNNNNNNNNNNNNNNNNNNNNNNNNNNNNNNNNNNNNNNNNNNNNNNNNNNNNNNNNNNNNNNNNNNNNNNNNNNNNNNNNNNNNNNNNNNNNNNNNNNNNNNNNNNNNNNNNNNNNNNNNNNNNNNNNNNNNNNNNNNNNNNNNNNNNNNNNNNNNNNNNNNNNNNNNNNNNNNNNNNNNNNNNNNNNNNNNNNNNNNNNNNNNNNNNNNNNNNNNNNNNNNNNNNNNNNNNNNNNNNNNNGCGGGCGACAUCGCCUCGUUUAUAUAUAUAUAUAUAUAUAUAUAUAUAUAUAUAUAUAUUUAUAUAUAAAUAUUUAUAUAUAAAUAUUCUUAUAUAUAAGGCAACGUCGCGUCGCCGAAAAAGGCGACGCGAUGUCACCUUUUAUAAUAUAUAUAUAUUAAUAUAUAUAUAUUUCGUUCCGUCCGAUAACGGGUUGUCACGGCCUUAGCUGGAAUUGCCUAAGGCGUGAGGCACCCUUGCGGCAAAGAUGCGAACUUAGCUUGCGUUGCCUAAGUCGCGAGGCACUCUUGCGGCAAAGACGCGAACUUAGCUUGCGUUGCCUAAGUCGCGCUUCACCGCUGCAAUUUGCGUCCGCAAAAAUUAGCCCAACCUCUCGCAGGUCCCGAAGGACCUGUAAAAGAGAAAGUUGAUUAGCUCGAAGAACGAGCGACAGACAAGUCCCGACGUAUCGCGAAAAGGGGAAGCUUUACAAGUAAUUCAGCGAGCACUUUGCGUGCCCAAGAGAAAAGAGGGAGAGGGGGAAAACAAGGACUUUAGAAGGUUGAACGAACAAUUGCAAGCAGUGUCUGCAAUACCGGACUGUACCGCCCGGUACGAGCGGUACGUACCGGUCCGAGAGGUUAUCUGUACGCGGACCGCCCGUUACCGGGCGGAACGAAUAAUAAUAAUAAAAUUAUAUAUAUAUAUAUAUAUAUAAUUUAAAUAAUCGAGGCGACGCAGCGCCUUUUGCGGCGACGUUGCCGAGGCGACACGACGUCGCCGAGGCGAUACGACGUCGCCUUUUUCGGCGACGUCGUCGAGGCGACGCAACGUCACCAAGGCGACACGACGUCGCCUUUUUCAGCGACGUCGCCGAGGUAUAUAUAUAUAUAUAUAUAUAUAUAUAUAUAUAUAUAAUUUAAAUAAACGUCACCUCGGCGACGUUGCCCCGUGUGGGGAAUGAAAAGGCGACGUCGCCGAGGCGAUGCGACGUCAGCCAAUAAAUAAAUAAAAAAUAAAUAUAAUAUAUAUAUCGAACGGUAUACCGCUCGGUAUACCGAGCGGUAUACCGUUCCGUACCGUACCGAGCGAUCGUCGAAAUUCCGGUACGGUACGAAAUUUCAGACCUUGACUGCAAGUCCACAAGCAGCUGCUCACCGGGUGCCGAGCGCGACAACAAGUUCCCGUCAAGGUAACGUGCGAACUUGCGAAAGAGUGUUCAACUCCCGGCACUAUACCGAAGCCCCAUCCAGCCCUGUGCCACUCGGGUGGUUCUAGGGUGCUGAGAUGGUUGACGUUUCGCGUGCAAUAGCGGGCUGCAGAAAUCAACCCGUGGCACGCGAAAACGGAGCUAUUUUGGGGCUGUUUUGCUCGGUUCGGUGAGCGAUCGCACUGUAGCGCUGCAACUUGUUCGAACUUACAUUUUUACAAGCAAAAUGACUCAAAACCAAGACAAAACAUGCUGCCAAGCAACUGUACAUGUAGAUGAGAGCGAUGAACGAUUCGUUGAACGGAGUUAUUGCGGGUGCACGACGACCGUUCGUGACAGGGCGGUUCGUGUACAGUUAAGCUGAUGAACCGGUAUGUACCGCUCGUACUGGGCGGUAUUAUUCUAAAUUGCAUACCUUGGUUUGAACAUAUUGCUGCUGUCUCACUCCUUGAUAAUCUCAUUUCUUCUCCAUACAAGACCAUUCUAAGCAAUUUUUUGACUCAACUAACUAGUUGAUUGUCUAUUUAAAGAAAUGAUAAUUAACAAUUUAUGACAUGCCACUAUUCUGAAAUUUCAUUCUAAUUUAUUGUAUCAAAUUUUGAUUAAAGGUUGUAGAUGAGUUAAACUGUCUGUUAGGUUAUUAUUGUAUGUUCUUCAAUUUGUUUGUUCUUUACCCUCCAAGAAAAUGCAGUUUGACUGUGGUUGUUUAAAUCCUGAGGUUCAGCCUAAAGGAAAUUAAUUUUGAACCUCACGUUAAAAGGUAUUACUCACUUUUUGGCUUUGUUUAUAAUACUAAUAAGAUGGGAUGGUUAGAAUGACAAGUGAUGAACAACUUGUUAUAAGCAACGUAACAUGAAACAAGAAUAUCAGUGCUAUAGGCAUACCUGGCAAUUAAUCAUGUUUAUAUAAUCAUGUAUUAAAAAAAUCUUUUCAAAUGACUGGUUUCUUAAAUCCAUAGACAUGUAUGCUUCGUUUUCAUUUGAAGAUAUAAGGUACAAAGACUUCUACAAAAUUUUAAAAAUCAUUUAGUUGCAUAUGCUUGUUGGAAUAAACAAAAUUCUUUCUAAGCUUCUUACUUGGGAGCAGUGAUUACAAUAGGCGCUCGGGUGAGGCGAGGCGAGGCCCAAGCGUCUUGCUUUGAAGCGCGCCGCCUCGGCACUCACUCGAGCCCAGGCGCUAGGUGCUUCGGGCGAGCGCUUGGGUUAAACCGGGCGACCGAACCAGAUUUUAGGUCUGGUUGGUCUCCGGUGCUUUAGUUGGUUCAAUCGAACCAACUAAAUCACCGAUAUCAGGCUCCCUCUCGCGAUUUCUCUGACUUCCCCAACUCUAACACUCGUGAUUUUGCCGCCGAGAUUUCUUCUCAGCUGUCGCUGCUCGUCGCUAUUGUCGCUACUCGUCGUUGCCACAAUCGCUGCUCGCUAACUGCUCGCCGCUGCCAUAAUCGCUUGUCACUGUCGCUCGUCGCUCCCGCUCCCACUCCCGCUAUCGCUCCUGCUACCGCUGUCACCUGCUACCGCUGCCGUUGCCUUAGCAGCCUCGGUCUUCUCACACUCUUCUCACUAUACUGUUAACAGUAUAUUAACAGUAUACUGCUAACUGUAUACUAAUAAUAGUAUUUUUAUUUAUUAGAUUAAUAAUAUAUGAUUUUGAUUUUAAUAUUAUUAAUUUUUAUCUAUUUAAAAUUAUUGUUAGGUUUCAGAAUAAAUGACAAGUGUAUAGAGCAACUCAAUAGAUUUGAUGUAAAAUUUUAUUGUUUUAAUUUUUGAGAUUUUUUAUUAAUGUGACAUUGUGAUUUUGUACCAUAUUUUCUUAAUUUAAUAGCAUAUUUUUUAUUUAAAUAAUUAUAUUUAUUAAUUAUAUUAUAUAUUUUUAUAUUUUAGCGUCUCGCUUCGCUCGGGCGAGCGCAUAGCGCCUCGGGCGUUUUUGGAUAUUGGCGCCUUUUGGCGCCUAGCGCUUUUUAAAUCACUGCUUGGGAGUAUAGUUCACAUUGGAUAUCGUUUUCUUUCAAGAGAAUAAGAAAUGUCAUCAAGCUACAUAAGGAGUGUGUGAGCAUCAAUUGAAAGUCUGGUUUGUACAUUUACUGUCUAGAAUGGAUUUGGUGAAAAGAGUUGGUUAAUUUGUGUUAAAGAAUUUAGGAAACAGAAGAGGUAGCUUAUGAGGUGCAUAUGUUCAAGUCUUUAGAAAAGCAUAGAAUAAUACCAGGUAGGACCUAGAAAUCCAACUGCUGGUUUUAAGGAGAAGACCAAUGGUCAUGUUUAUGUUCAUUAAAUGAAGAGACUUUUUUUUUCUUCUUGGAUGAAAGAUGUUGAUGAUGACCUAUUUGACAGACGUAAAUUUUUGAACCCUAAACUCUAAAAUUUUGAACCUAAAUAGGGAUUGUAGACGAUCUGAUGGCAGUUUUGUCAUAUAUUUAAUUCUCUCAGGAGGCACAAUCUUUGAGUUAUUUCUUUCUAAUUAAGGUGGAGUUCCACUUGAUGGAGUAUGCAAUAAAUAAUUUUUUGUUCAUCUAAUGGAGCCUAGGUUCAAGGCAGAGUGCAUGCCCAUAUUGAAGCAAUGUUAUCCUGAAAUGAGAGUUUGCUAGAAAGAACCUUGAAAGGUGAAUUGAAUUUAAAAUGAGAUGCGCUUACCAUUUAGUAAUAUCUAAAUAAUCGAAAUAUAAAUUUUUACUUAUAAGAUGGGUUAGAUAGUCAAAUUUUGUGUUAAUUUCAAGAUGCAUUUACAGAAAGGUUGUGGUUUCAACGUCUUGCAUAAGCGAUAGAAAAGAGGAACUUUCUAGGUAGAAUGCCUCGACAAUAACAAACUCUCACACAUCAAAGUAUUAUUAGUUAUAAUGCCAAUACUCAUAUAUGUCAGGUCUCCAUACCACAUAUACUUAUUCAGUUUCUAGACAUUUUAGAUUUAAAAAAUUGAACUCCAUGGUCGUGAAAUAUAAAAUAUAAAAUAAGUAUAAUAUCAAACAUUGACAAUGAGAUUGUGCAGAAAUGAUAAAGUUUUAGCAACAAUUAGUCAUACACACUUAGCAAUUUGUCAGCAAUAAAGACAAAAUCCUUAUUGUUAUAAAGCAAUUUAGGCACUUGACCAUUUUAAAGGACCCGUAGGAGUGCACCUAAUUGAAGUCAUGAAUAUCAAUUGAGUUGAGGCUUAUUACAAUCAGUCUCGGUGCACCUCUUGCCUGGUCAAACCUUUACAUCUAUAAUAACACUGUAUAUGAAGAAGUUUCUUUUAACACAAAUUUUUUGGUUUUACUUUAUAAAAAAAAAUGAGUAGGAUAUAAAUUUCAGUUUCUCCAACAAAUUAAAACAAAUCUGUGUCUGUAUCAAAUAUAUCAUGGAUACACAUAUUCAUGUGAUAUGUGCUGAGUAGAUGUCAGUAGGGUUUGCCUUACCAGUAGGAUGGUGAUAUGGUAUGUGUCGCUCCAUAAUGACCUACCGUGUGUUGGUAUGGUGGGGCAUACCAAUGGCACAGAAAAAUGGUAAAAAAUGACUUCAAAAUUUUUUGAAAAAUAAAGAAAUGUUAGAUUAGUGUUUUUAAGUUGAAAAUAAAUAUAAAUUUAGUAUAAUUUUAGCAAAAAUAAUCUAAAUUAGGAAAGAAUAGUGGUAUAUAGGUGUUAAUCCUCCCUAAUUAGCUUUCUAAGUUUGAUUUAGUCUAAGAAUCGUAGCUUUGUGGAGUUCAAGAGAGUGCAAAUGGGAGACUGAGAGAAAUACGUGAGUAGAAAGUGAUUGAUAGAGUAGAUGAGUUAGAGAGGGUGAAAGGGGAGAGAACGAGGAGGUAGAAAGGGUUUAAAAACCCUAAAUCUAGUUUAAACGAUCAAAUGGACUAUUUAAAUUCAACAAAUCCCAACCAUUAAUCGGUAUCGAUUGAAAUUCGAUUGUUACUGAUCGGUACAGGUCAGUAACGAUCGGAUUUGAUCGUUACGACUGGUACAGAUGCUGUAUCGAGUGAUACGGGGUCCCCUGUUAUGGUCCACCUGGUACAGGACGGUUCACGUAUCGAUCCCUGGUUGAACUGGUACAUAUUGCCCAUACCGCCCGCUAUAGGUCGACAUGGCAAACCAUGGAUGUCAAAUAUAUUGUUGAUUCAUUAAAGUGUCUUUCUUUUAAGUUAACAUAAUAAAGUGCGAUACCGUUAUAUUCUUCAUACUUUUUUAGGAGGUAUAAUUGGUCAUCUUUCUUUUUUGACUAGAUAAUUUGUCAACAUUAGUUUUUGUGAUGUACAUAACAUUUUAUGGUACAAAUUUACAAUAUGGAUGAAGGGAUUUUGUGAUAUACAUAACAUUUUAUGAUACAAAUUCACAAUCUGGAUGAAGGGAUUUUUUUGCAUAUUAUUUCUUGUUUGGUGUAAGAUUCUGUUACAAAUUAGUUUUUGUGAUAUACAUAACAUUUUAUGGUACAAGUUCACAAUAUGGAUGAAGGGAUUUUUUUGCAUAUUAUUUCUUGUUUGGUGUAAGAUUCUGUUACAAAUUAGUUUUUGUGAUAUACAUAACAUUUUAUGGUACAAGUUCACAAUAUGGAUGAAGGGAUUUUUUUGCAUAUUAUUUCUUGUUUGGUGUAAGAUUCUGUCAAUCUCAGAGCAUUUUAUCUUGAAAUAAAGGAUGCUCAUAAUUGGUUCCCUAAGGUUCAAGUAUGCUCCUACACUUAUGCAUGCCAGUUUUUGCAGCUAAUAGUAUGCUUGUUAUCUGUAAUAAAGCUCAUGAUAUGCUAACAGAGUUAUUUCUAUAAAUGUAUUUCACUUUGUCAUCUGUUCUCUUUUCCCCAAUAUUUCAGUUUCUUGUAAUGACGUACACUUUGAUUCAUAUUGCAUUCUUGUCUGUAUUUUCAUGGUUCUCUGGUGGUCUCUCUGAGUCAUGAGAUUAUUUUAUUAUACCCAAAAAGAAAAACACUUAACUAUUAAAUCUGCUAUCGUCUUUUGCACCUUUGUUGUUUAUUUGGAGCAUAAAUUGAUCUGAUGUUGUCCCUUUUGUUCUUUAAGGUGGAUGGGGAGUCUCUUGACAGAGAGUUGAUUCAUGGUGAGAGUAAAGGUUAUUACUCUGUACUGUUCUAUGCUUCAUGGUGUCCAUUCUCGGACAAUAUUCGUCCUACUUUUAAUGUUCUUAGUUCCAUGUUUCCCCAAAUAAAGCACUUGUUAGCGGAUGAAUCUUCUACAAUGCCAAGGUAUCCAUUAUACUCAUAUAUGUCAGUUUGCUGCAUCCAGAUAUUGCUUAUUCCUUUUUAGUGUUUGACUAUUCUAUUUCUGGUUGGUUUCUGCUCUCACACAUUGCAGUAUUCUCUCGAGAUAUGGUAUUCACAGCUUUCCAGCUAUUGUUCUCUCCAACCAGACAGCAACUAUUCGAUACCGUGGUCCCAAGGAUAUCGAUACUCUCAUCCAAUUUUACAAGAAAACUACAGGUUUGUUGACACUAGCUUUUCUUGCAAUCAUUUUCUUUCUACCUGAGUGUUGCACAUCUUGAUGUUUCUCUUCGAUCUUUGCUGAAACCUUCUAGGCAUAUGAGAUGCAAGAUCAAGUGGUUAAUCCCGAAGGAUUUGUUUAGGUUGUGUUAAGGUCCAGUUUCUGUCAUGAGAUUGAUUGUCCUUCUGGUUUACUUUGAGAUAGAAAGAUAUGCUAGCUGUUUAGUGGGAGAGAAUAUCCAUUCAAAGAGAUCAUCAUGUCUUAUAGUUACUUCUGGUCGUACUAGUGUAUGCUCGUCUGUAUCACAUGAUUGAUUGUAGAAGAAAAAAAUUGUACCAAGCACCAUCUUUGGGUCCCUUUUCACAUCAUAAUUUUCUUGUUAUGCACAGGUUUCGAUCCAGUUGAACGCUUGGUCGUCGACCAGCCUGCUAAUUUAGGAAAUGUGAGAUCCCUAAUGCAUCAGGUGGAAUCUCUAAGGGAGUUGAUAACCACGGAGCCAUAUCUGGUGCUUGGAGUGCUUUUCAUCUGCCUGAAGCUAGUCCUGUCUGUCUUACCUGUUGUUUACUCCCAUCUCAAGGCUCUCUGGGUCUCACAUGGCUGGCAUCUCAACCUGCCCAUCCUUUGUGAACCAAGUCAGUUGUUGGUAAGAGUGCUGCAUGGAAUUGACGUCAAUAAACUGUGGAACAAGGUUAAGCUGGGUAAUAAGACUAUGAAUUUGAGGAAGGGUGCAAACAAUGCUCGUGCCUGGGCUUCUACCCUAACCUCUGUCUCACUAGGUGAGUCCUCCUCCCCCUCCUCUUCCUCCUCCUCAAGACUAAUAACCCCUUGUGACUCAUGACUCUUUUCCUGUGUCCUUUGGAGAAAGCCAAAAAGAGGUGGGUGCUUUUGUAACCUCAGAAGUCUGUGUCAUUUGCUAUUCUCCAUCAAUGUAAAUGUUGUCUGUGCCUCUUUUGAAGAUUGGGUAAUGGGAAGAAAGGUCUCAUGUAAAAUUUUGAGUGUUACAUCUCUCUCUUUGUGUAUUGGAUACGUUUAUACAGUAUCUCUUUUAUUAAUUCUAUGAAAUAUUUUUAUUAGAUAUGAUAGCGGGUUGGGUAUCCAUGAAAUUUAGGUGCCUGAACCUAAGUUUGAACACAAUUUGGGUACUUGAUUUCCUAUCUUGAACUUGUCUCAAGCCCGAUCGUUGUGCACAUAAAUAUGAUUUGAGCUGGUUGGAUAGUCGUGGGUCUAUCGUCCACUCAGGAAUUCUUGUCGAAUAAUUGGGUGGGGUAUUUGCAUGAGUACAAAUUUGGACUUGACUUGGGAAUCUGAUUUUUUUUUAUCUAAAACUUUAUCCUAAAUUCGAUUAAGGGGUACUGAAACCCAUUUUGUUUAAAUGGAUUGCAUAGAGAUCAAAUAUCCAAAGAACAAAAACCAUCUUUACGGUACUAAAACCAUCUUUACGGUUUGUGCAUUGAUUGACAUUUAUUCCUGGCUCAAGAUUCUGGAAAAGGAACAGUACUGUUGUUUCUCAUCAUCCAGAGGUGCCUUUUUAAGGUCUCGAAGAACAGAUUGAAUGUUAAGAAGAUUAGUCAUUCAUAGUGUAUGCAUUGUUUUUAUAGUGUCUAACCAAAAGAAAAUUGAUGACAUCCAUGUAAGCAAAUUCAUGUAACCAAUUAUGCAUCUCUAUCUUGAUUGGACUGCAAAAACUAGUCAUCAGAAAUGAAGGCUGGAUCCUUCGUAGGAUGUAAGAGGGAAAUUAAUUGGGUUUAUUGGACAAGAAUGGAUGUAUAACUGUUUUCUAUUCAAUUCAGUCUUUAAUUGAAUUGUUUUCUCUAUAACAAUGCACAAAAGUUAAUGAAAUGAUUGGCAUCUGAUAUAAGAUCUCUAAUAUUUUUUAAAUAAAAUCUAUUUUUAUUAUAUUAAAUAUUAUAUAUGAUUUUCACAUGAGACUCGAAUACGAGAUCUAUCAUUUUAUAUAAUAACAAUGUACUAACUCGGAUAUCUCAUUGAUCAUUUUAUAUAAUAACAAUAUACUAACUCGGAUAUCUUAUUGAUCAUUUUAUAUAAUAACAAUGUACUAACUCGGAUAUCUCGUUGAUCAUUUUAUAUAAUAACAAUGUAGGAUAUCUCAUUGAUCAUUUUAUAUAAUAACAAUUUACUAACUCGGAUAUCUCAUUGAUCAUUUUAUAUAAUAAGGAAAGAUAUUUCUUUCCUGAAUAGUGGCCACCUUGCUUUCCCAGUCUUCUUUUCGCUUUUGAUAGUCUUUAUCUAUCCACAUCCCAUCUCCCAUCUCCGUCAGAACUGAUUCUAACCCAAGGCUCAAGCAAACCCCACAUGACUCCAAUUUCCAAAUGAGAAUCUCCUCUGGGAGAAAGCAAAAGAAGUAUGAAAUCAUCACUGGUUGGAAGAUGGAAUGUGUCCAUUUGCUUCGUUGGUUUGUUUGAUGACAAAUAAAUUAUUCAGGUGGGGAUAGGCUCUGAAGCUAUUAAACAAUAAAUAAUAUUGCAAAGAUUUAGGAUUAGUAGUUAUUUUAUUUUAUUCCACAAUGAUUUACAAGAAGGCAAAAUAAUUGUACUGUUAUUAGUUUGAACUCAAACAUUUUGACUUGAUAAGAUGAACAGAAUCAGUAUUAGAUUUUUGAAACUUGUGAAUGAGGGCUGAAAUGCAAUACAGAGAAUGACGUGCGACUCGCUCAGCCUAUCACCUGCAAAUUUAUCUUUCUCAUGCACGAGACAGGUGUGGUGAGGCUACGAUACAUGUCUCAUCGGUAGAAGCCAUCGACGAAAGCUGGAAAUCGAUCCAUGGGAAAGAUCUUGACAGGUGGGUCCGAUAGGGAGCUCAUUUAUCACUAGCAGAAAGGGAUAAGCUCGGGCUCUCUCUCAAACACACUGGAGAGGUGAUCAUUCUAUGCUCAGUCCAAGAUCACACGCCCUCUUCCGGUCUGCUUCCUAGCAUUGCAAUCCCCUCCUCCCUCUCAAAUGGAGAAAUCUUGCCUGGAGUUGGACAUGGAAGAGUGGGAGUUCCUCCCCGAUAACAAGGCCUUCCUGGGCUUCAGCCAUGACGGUGCCAAAGACGUGCUGCUCAAGGAGCUCAUCGUGGAUACGAACUACUUCUCAAGCCCUUCCAGAGAUGUUGCAGCUCCACUUAGCUCUGAUCCAACUGCAGGCGACAACCCAAACGACGAGGCUCCCGACGAAGGAUUCAAGGACGUCGGCGUCGUCCCACCGGUGACAUCAGCGAACCAGCGUGAAGUGGUACGUCAAGUCUUCUUCAAGAAGCUGAAGGAGAACGAACUCGUCGAUAUGAAGGUGGCCUCCAACGCCAUGGAAGCCAUCACGCCUCGCUUGGAACCAGAGCAGAAUCAGUUGGGUGAAGAAGGCAAGGAGGGGGCUCCGAUGGCGAACGAGAAGGAUCAAACAGCGUCUGAGAUCAAAGGCAAGGCUUGUGGGGAUGGCUUUGGGUUCACACUAUGGAAUUGGAGAUUGACAGGCAUCGGAGCCUUCUGCUGCGUAGCAGCUGCGACCAUCUGCAUCUUCAUCAUUGGCGGCCGACCGCAACAGAAGCAGAGGAUCCAGCUCGGUAUCCAUGCGGAUGAUAAGGUAGUGUUCAUUGAUUUUCCAUUAAUAUCCAUUAAUUUUAAUUCAGUAGCAAAAAUAUCUCUCUGUUCUUCUCACUUCCAACAUGUUAGUUUCUUAAUGGCUUUGAGCUUCUACUGUUGAUCGCAGAGGAUGAAGGCAAAAAGGCUAAACGAUACACUGUCAUCUCCCACCACCAAGGCACAGGUCUCAGUCGAAGGCCAGUACAAUCAAUAGUGCUCGAUCAACUGCAUGUUAUCAUCAGCAUCACUAAACGCAUAAAGUCCCUACUUAUUUGUACAUGGAUUGUGGGAGAUGAGUAGUAGGAGCAAGUGUGGUGCUAAUAUAUACAAUUUAAUGGCUAAAGUUAACAGAGCUUGUUUUGUCUUACGACAAAGACGAUGAGAAGAGAAGGUUGGCACUUGAAAGGAGAAGAGAAGGUUGGAAGGUCCACAAAGACAAAGGAGACGUGGUUGGGCCAUUUAAUAAGGAAUGCAAUCAAACAUCGACAUGUGAAUUAAGAAACAAACGAUACAUUAUUAUUAUUAUUAUUAUUACUCUCAUUGGAGACCUCAUCAACCUAUUAUUAAUGUAUACAUAUUACAUCAAGAAUAUACUUACAUUAAGAACAGCAAAAACAUUACCUUGCACCUACAAAUGCCAAGCCAUUUUUCAUGUAGCCAUCAACAUAAUAAAUAAGCAAUUAAUUGAAUUGAUCAUGGAAUGGAAGAAAACAAAAUGGAAUAGAAGAAAAAAUUCACAUCUAAAACCAGUUUAAUGAUUUCAAUCAACACAAAAGGAAAACUAAAAAUACUAUCAGUAAAUAAAUAAAUAAAUUAUAUAUACAUUUAUAUAGAUAUAAUAUAAUAUAAUAUAUAUCAGAAGCCAUCUAAGAAAGGAACUACCGAGAGAAAUGAGCUCCUUUCCCUCAAAAGGAUUCAUGUCGCUUUGCGCCUCCGUCUGAACCGUAUGCAGAUGGCUGUUUCAUCCUGCAUCCGGUUAUUCAAGAGGCUAUUCUCGAUUAAUCAUCAUGAUUGUAAAGAUUCAGAGACGGACAAGACAAUAAAAAGAAAAAGACGGCAUUUAGAUCGAAGGACGGAUACGAGAUAGCAAGAAAAGGAAGGGAGGACCUUGUCCAAGGCAGCUUGGGGGACACCACAUGGAGAUCAGUGAUGGAGUCCCCUCAAAAGGCCUGAGAAGGUUUGUAGUAGAGCGCAAACCCAUCUCUGUGCGCCCCCUAACUAAGCCGGACGGUACAAGGGCUUUCGCCUCCAUACGGCUACUCAAAGAGGCAAAUCAUCGAGCACCUAAAACACGAAAACAAACAGAGAGAGAGAGAGAGAGAGAGAGAGAGAGAGAGAGAGAGAGAGAGAGAGAGAGACAGAGAGAGAGAGAGAGAGAGAGAGAGAGAGAGAGAGAGAGAGACGGCGGUUGAGCAAGGCAGGCGGAGAUCAGCAUCGCGCUAGAGGCUUCACACUAGACGGCUACUAGCAGAGACAAACCAUCGAACACAUUAUACGCAGACGGCUACUAGCAGAGGCAAACCAUCGAACACUUUAUACACAGACGGAGAGAGGUGGAAGUCACGGAGUCGGAGGCGGCGGAGAAGGUUAGGGUUUAGUUAGGCUACAUAUAUACAAGCUGGGCUCGUUAAGAUGGCCCAAUAUCAUUGGACCAGAGAGCCCAUUCCCCAACCCAAUUAGUUGGAGAGUCCCAAUUUCGAUCAAACCUCCACUUGAUCAGACCCCAUCACCUUGUAAGAUAUGCACAUGGGAUCAGCAUUCCCAUGUUUUGAUCCACUGGAUCAAUAAUGAAUGUUGUACUUGGAUGAUUCCAUCCAUGAACCAUAAUGUGUGUGUGUGUGUGUGAGAAAGAGAGAGAGAGAGAGAGAGAGAGAGAGAGAGAGAGACUUUGUGCAUUCCCAUUCCACUUUUCAAGUAUAAACCACUUUAUAAUGGACACACACACAAACAAACACCAAUUUCUUGAAUGGCUUCCACUGUGUCAAACAAAACAUAAACUACAUCACAAUGCUAUGGCAUUUGCUCUUUUUUCUCUGCAGCCAAAAUGCCUCCACAAUGUUGGAUUCAUCAACAAGAUUAGAGACAUAGUCUUCUCUGCAUGAUUGCUUCGAGUUCAGAUUGGAGAAAGGGAAGACCAGUAACAAAACAUGACAAGAGUAGAUGGAAGCAAAUAAUAUGCCAAGGCAAUAAUACCACAUCUUAUUUCAUCUACUUCUAACCACAAAAAAUAGCUCACAGGAUCAAUCACCAAGCAUGACCACAGACAUCGGUACGAAUAUAUUUCUCUCACCAGAGAUGACAGAUGAGAACAACAAAUACAACAUCACGACGAAGAAUAUGAGGCAACAUGCCGCUCAGCAGAGGAAGUAUCCAAAGAGGAGGGCCGACAGCAUGGCAAGGACGGCAGCAGGCGCAGCGAGCGUUGUGGCGCCGGAGGUGGGGCUGGGGGCAGGAGCCUCGGCAGCGGCGGCUUUCUCGACCAAGGAAGAAGCCAUGACGACGGCCAUCAUGGCCACGGCGAAGAGCCUCAGCUUAGGACCAGCCUCCAUCGUCGAUAAUAUUGAAGUUAAUGAAGAGAGGAGAAGGCUUAGUUUGUGUGUAUAGACUCUCCACAGAUCCUCCUGAAGGAAAGAAGAGCAAAGAGAAGAAGGAAUGGGUUCAUGUGGUGGCGGGGAAGGAGGGUUAUAUAGGGGUUGGAUGGCUUCUAUUUUGGCGUGUUGUUUUUGUGUGGUUGGAGUUGGAGACCUGACAACGAAAGAACGGGAGGAAGAAGCAGUCAAAGAUGAAUGGGAAAGGCCGUGAAUGAUUGAACGAGGUGA
Molecule: long non-coding RNA, 60365 nt
Filed under: Musa acuminata (dwarf banana)
Lineage: Eukaryota; Viridiplantae; Streptophyta; Magnoliopsida; Zingiberales; Musaceae
Description: long non-coding RNA (MACU_LNC002009)
Rfam family: tRNA (bases 13730-13802)
Source: RNAcentral